Molecule: long non-coding RNA, 48088 nt
Filed under: Mytilus galloprovincialis (Mediterranean mussel)
Lineage: Eukaryota; Metazoa; Mollusca; Bivalvia; Mytilida; Mytilidae
Source: RNAcentral
GGUGUAUGUUUACCGACUACUUAAUUAUAUUGUCUCCGUACUUUUGCUGUGAUAUAAAGUAAGCCGACAUAAAAUAAUUUUCUGUGUGACACGUUUUAUUUUCCUGUUAUUAGCGAUUGAUCUCUAAAGGCUGAUAGACAAACCUCACAGGUAAGUCACUAUUAUUUUCUCUUCAAACUUCUACCAAUAGUUUUCAAUAUUCUUUUUCUUUUAAAUUUGAAUGAAAAAUAUUUGAAAUAUUUAAAUUAUGGAAUUAAAAAAAAUUAAUAAAUAAAACAUUUUCUACAAGUUUCUUUAAUGUGUAGCUAUAUAUCUAUUUUGUUAUUUCAGUAAUUUUCAGGAAACGGAAUAACAAAAUUCAUAACAUCGUCUUUCUAUUUUUUUUUUUUUUUUUUUUUUUUUUUAUUUAUUUGUACAUUGAUUUCAAUCCUUUGUAUGUUCUUUUAUUAAAAAUUCAGAAACACUUUAGUCGUGUUCAGAUUCAAAUCUUUGUUUUGCUAAUUUAACAUUAAAAACACUGUUAGAGUUGUUUAUCAUGACUUUAUAUCUCGAAUCUUUAUUUUUCAUGUUUAAGUGUACUUUUUCUUUCUACAUGUCCUAAUUGAAAGAGCAAAUACGAGCAAUGAAUUUCUCAAUGAGUAGCAAUUCUGCUAGAGUGAUAAAAAUCAUCCAAAAUAUUUUAAAAGAAGUAUAUUUCUUUCUUUUUACAAAUAGAAAAAGAUGUUAGAUUUGUGCAAUUAAUCAUUAUGUUGUUUAUGAUUUGUGCUUAUAACUAUCUAAUAUCAUCAGAUAUAAGUACAUCCCACAGAUUCUGCCUAGAAUGAUAUAUGUCCCGGUGAUUAAAUGAUUGACUUCCUUCUUUAAUGAUGAAGCACACUUGUCUUAUAUUUCGCACGUGUGGUUCUUGUAAAUAGUUUUAAUCUGCCGCUAUAAUUAAGACGCUUUUUAAAAUAUCGUGUUAAUCUAAGAUAAAAGACGUUUAAUGACACAGCCAAAAAAUAAUGAGACAGCAUCCCAGUCAAUGUAAAGAACACUGAAAUGUCCAGCCUUAAAUUAUGAACAAUCGUUCAUAUUGUACUGAGAACCUUACUUUACUCCAAUUCUAUAGUUUUGAAUUUAUUCAAUAGAGUAGAACAGGGGUUCGUACAUAAAGAAAAAAAAUUCAAAUUCGUUAAAAACUACGAGUGAAAAAUUCUACGGUCCUUGCUAAGGACAUGCGCACUGAUAUCUCGCGAGCCUUAUUUAUAAUAAUAAAAAGGUAACAGAUACCAUGCGGUAAUCCAACAUUAUAAUCAAAGUAUGACAAAAACCAAAGCUCAUAGAUAAAGACAAAAGUCCAGGAAAACAAGCUAUUUCUAUUCCGUUUGAGGAGUGUUAUACGACAAGGGAAAAUCCGGUGAUUCGCGUUUGUGAUAAAACAUUAACAAAAAAAGAUCGUGGGAUUGUGAAGAAGACAACAGAAACACAUCUGUGAUCAUCGGAGCACAAAUAUUUCGUCAUGGUCAACUUAAGUAUCUUGACUCUCACUAAUAUAUGAACUCGUUCAGUUGGAUACAAAAUUAUUCAAGCUUAGUUUAAGAUAUAUAUGUUUAUCAUUUUUGUUGUCUUUAUUGUGUUAAAGUGUCCCUUUCUCAUUAAGAUCAUCAACAUCUCUGUUUAUUUAUACAUGGGAAAACACACAAUAAUAUUUUUAGAUAACAAACCUUGGAUUCUAGUGUUUUCAAGAGACUUCCACUUGAUUCAAAUAUUUGUCGGUAGUACGAUAGUACUUUGGUCUAUUAUUAGCGAGACGAAUAGUACUCCUUGUUGUACUAUCAAAUUAGAUAGAAACAUAUCAUUAAACUUAAAGGUUUAGUUAAAUAUGUCCGAAAGGCCAAUCCCUCGGCCUCUCUGUAUUUAAGAAUUUAUAAAGUCUCGUGUUUUAAGUCAUUUGCACUUCAUAAUAUAUGAGGCUCCCGCAGGGUCAAAAACGACCUGCGACCUCUGGGCUUUUUAGAGGCGACUUCCGACCUGAGUGCCUUCUAAAAACGACCUACGACCUGUAAAAUUUGGAAAAAAUGACCUCCGACCAACUUCCGUCCUCUGUGUUGGAAAAAAAAACGACCUGCUACCUGUACAUUUCCCUUAAAAACGACCUCUCGACGAAUUUAAAAGCGACCUUGCGACCCUGAGGGGGGUACCCUAUGGGAGCCUCAUAUAUGAAACAGAGACCGAAUACCGUGCGUAACGUCUUGUGUAUACAUUCGUAUGCAUGGAAAAAGAGAAUUAUGGGUAAAUACUAAUAUACAGAUACAAUUAAUAAAAAAAGAAUUUAACCAAUUAAAACAUAGAAUGUUUAACGUAAUGAUUACUAUAAAUUUAUAUUUAUAUUAUGACUGCUGAUUGUUAUAAAUGUUUUGCAAUCAUAUUGUUCACAAUAACGGUUGUCACUAUCCUUAAUGUUUUAUAAUUAUUCAUUUAAAGAAUUCCAUGUACAAGUCAAUUAUUUGGUUGUCUCGUUUGAAAUUCUUUUACGCAUUGAUUAGACUUGGGGUAUAUCUUUCAAAUUGUUAACAACGCUCAAUAGCAAUAUUCGAUCUCGUAUCAACAUAACGGACGUUGCCUCCUUACAUCCUUCGCUUGUUGUGCUGAUUUCUCAUUGAUGUUUUCAUCACAGAUCCUUCGAUUGUGUAAAACCUCUUCAAAGAUCUAUAGAACCUGCAAAUAAUGCAAUUACUCCACCCUUUCUCUUCCUGGAUAAAAAAUGUUUAUAGUAUACUAAAAACGUUUGAGUGUUUAAACCCGGAUAUACCUUUCGUGUGUCUUCCGUAUGGAAAAAGUUCAAUACAAUUUGUACAUGUAAAUAAAUAAGUUAUUUGUCUAGUAGUUAACAGAAAGUAUCAAUAAAGCUUUCCAGAAUUUCCUACACACGUUGUGUCAAUAACGAUACAAAUGGCAAAAUUCAGUCAAGACAAAGGCCUCUUUUGAAAUCUUGCUCGAGCCAAUGUCUGAAUGAGAAGGAAACACAUCCAUGUCGUGAUCAAUUUGUGAAAACGAUUUUAACUGUAGGUGAGGUAGUUAUUGUUUUAAAUGACUUUAGGAUAUCGUUUUUCUACAGAUGACAAUCGUUUUAAUAUCUUUAUAUUGGAAGGUUAAACAACUGUCUUGUAUUAAAUUUACAGAAGUAUCAGAAAGCUCACUAGAUCAAGGUUUUCACACAACAUGUGACAUGAUUAGAACAUCAUAUUUUUGCAAUUUUUCUAAAUUUAGAAGUUUUCAGGCUUUUUUCAGUGGUCAUCAGAUGGUUUUGACAUCCAGUGUUGGUUAACUGGUAAUUGUCAGUUAAUUCAUCAUGUACGUAUGUAAUCCAUGUGUUUAACUUUUAAUCUUGGUAUUUACAUUUUUACACAAAAUAUAUUAAUGAAAGCAUGACAAAUACAUUUGUCUUAUAUUGAGUUUCUGUUAUGUUGUCUCAUUGACGUAAGCACUAUAUUUUGUUUAUUCAUAAUAAUAUAAAGUAUGUUACGCAAGGUUAAAACAUUAAGUGUGUUCCUGAAACAAAGUUGAACGCGGAAGCAAAGCCUUCCUUGAUAACUUUACAUACUUGUUAGAUUCAUGAAGAGCAAGUAGGAUAAUAUUUAUAAAAGCAGGAAAAUUAAAUUUGUGCUAUUAUUGAGUUCUGUAAUGUUUUAUUGACGUAAAUACAAAAUGUUGAUAAUUCAUACUAUAAAGCAUGUAACGCAAGGUUAAAGUGUUCAUUUGUUUCUGAAAAUAAGUUGAAACAACAAAAGACUUCCUUGUUGUUAGAUUCAGAUAGAGCAAGUUCACUUAUUUCUAUGUAAUGAUAAUACAAAUGGUUUUUACAUGGUGUCAAGGUGAUUGUAAUAUCAUACAACGCAAUUAGCACUGAUCUUAAGUGGUGAUAGACUGCAAAAUAAACGGAUUCAACUUAUAAGACUAACACAGUUAAACACGUUACGUUUUUUGACAAAUGAUCUCCAGAUAUUAGAUUGAGCAAUAAGAUAUAAAAAAGAAGAUAUGGUAUGAUUGCCAAUGAGACGAAUCUCCACAAGAGACCAAAAUGACACAGAAAUUACAAACAAUAGGUCACCGUACGGCCUUCAACAAUGAGCAAAGCCUAUACUGCAUAGUCAGCUAUAAAAUACCCCGAAACGACAAUGUAAAACAAUUCAAAAGAGAAAACUAACGGCCUUAUUCAUAAAAAAAAAUUGAACGAAAAACAAAUAUGUAACACAUUAGCAAACGACAACCACUGAAUUACAGGCUCCUGACUUGGGCCAGACACACACUUAAAAAAUGUGGCGGGGUUAAAGAGUUCACCAUGUACCAAUGUACGUACUAUGUUUCGAUUAUAGUACAAUCACAAUAAUAAAGUCUUUCGCAAUCAUGGAUAGUAAAAUAGCCGAACAGGUCUAGAAGCUCCAGAAAGUUAGCGUUUUUCUAUGCAGGAAUACAAUUCAGUUACUAGUAUUAGAUUUUUAAUUUGCAUUUAAAAGAACAAGUUCAUGUGAACUAGAUGGCUGCUUCUUCUUCUUGGUGAUCGUUUUGACAGGACAAGCACAAGUUUCCUCCACACUUCUCUUUUGUUUGAUUUUCUUUCCGCUGUGCUUCGGGUAUAUCCUCCUUCUCUUGAUUCAUUUUCUUUUGUGUGCCUUAAUUCGAGUGUUUUUGAACUACAUGUAGAUGUCUGUGAGUUCAAACAUUUUAUUUUUUCUGAUGAAAUACAGGUUAGUUAGUGAAAAAUUCGGGGACAAUGUAAAAAUACUUUAAUACUUUACGAGAACAUAUUUGAAUACGACUUACAAAUUACGAGAACAUAUUUGAAUACGACUUACAAAUUACGAGAACAUAUUUGAAUACGACUUACAAUUCUUUUACAGAAUGUUCAGUUGUAAGUCAUAGAAAAAACCCAGUUGUCAAUUUAUGCCUCAUUGAAAAAUCUUUAAACGCGUCAAGUAUGUAUUUAUAAUGACCACAUCACUUAAGCAAUUACGUAUACACAUGAAUAAAAGUAGAUGUGGAUAAUUAACAUCAAUGACACAGUGUUAACAAUUCAAAGAAGUGAACAAAAAUAAAAUGCAUCUUCAUUACUUUAAAGAGAGGCAGAAAUUACAGAAAGGACAAUCGCUAAAAGACAAACGACAACAUCAAAAUUCACAAAUGUCUACAGAAACUUUGAAUGAUUCACAAAUGUCUACAGAAACUUUGAACGUGUUGAUGUUACAUGAAUGAAGACUGUAAUAGUGUCACUUGUUAUCAUAAAUGUCUUAAAGGUUUGAUAAAAUUCCUGGUUCGAAAUCCACUAUUUGGUUACAUAAACCUAAACCUCCAACCAAGUGAAGACUCUAAUAAAUGUUCAUUCCAGACUUAAGUAGGAAAUAUGCAAAAUUGUAUUGAUUUAAGAAGUUUAGCCAAUAUCCCUGUGUUCUUUUUUUUUAAGUAACAGUUUCAAAAUCAAAAAGUUAUUAGAAACAGCCCUAGCAACAAUCAUAAACCUAAUUUCUUUCGAAGGUUGGGGAGGGGAAGAGAGAAUAUGAUUACAUUCAAUUCGAAAAUUGAUGCCACAUUGGAGAAUAUACACUAAUGGGCAUAUGCGAGAGAGAGGUGCUACGAGUUGCUAAGACUAAACACUAAAUUUAAUAAUAAACUGUAUAUACAAUGUACACCCCGUUCUUUCUAAAGAAUUUACUAUAUACAGAAUUGACCAUUGUGUUCACUACUUCAUUGGAACUCCGGUUGACGGUUGUCGUAUUGGCAAUCGUACCACGUCUCCUUAUUUUACAUACAUGUACGUGCUAAACAAAAUACACUUUGCCAUUAAAAAAUUCUUAAAUCCUAUUUAAGUAAGGCCCUGGACACAACAAACCAACGAUUAUGUGACUAACAGAGAGAUAAAAAUCACUUCAAUCUCUUAAUUUUCAACAUCGAACAGUCACAAAUCAAACUCAUUCUGCUAUUUUUUAAAGGUACAAUUAAUUGUUGUGCACUGUCUUAUUCUUAAAGGUACUUGAAUGUUUUAUGUUCAAGAUCUGAUUAGCCAAAUGAAUGGUUUUAUCCUUUUUAUGGGAUAAAUUUCAUUUAUUGUUACCUUUGGGAUGACUUAAGAGACUUGGUAGCAACAUGGUAAAUGAAGGUGUUUCCGGUGUUCUAAAAAUGCUGUCAGAUAAAAUAGGUGUAGAUCUUCAUCUAUAUCAUGUGGACAUGCCACAGUUUUAUUCUUUCAAUCAUUUCAUAUGUUAGCAAACAUAAAAUGUUCUAGUAUAUAGUUUCUAGCAAUCGAUGAGCAUGAGUUUUAAGAGCCUUACUUGUCUGAUUAGUGGGAUCAAAUGUGGCAUAUUUGGUGUAAAGUUGACAAUAUGUAUUAAAAAAAUGCAUCGAAGGAUAGUAUAUCGAUUUGUUAGUGUAACUUCUAAAGAAUAUCUUUACUUCUAAAAUAAUGUUUUGGUAUAUCAAUUAACCGUUUCAGAAUCUAAAGAAUCAUGGGUAAUUUCAUUGUUCGUAUCCCAAAAUGAAAAUAACGCCACGUCAUUGGUUAAAUUUCCAUUGUUUAUGACAUGUUUAACCAAUCAGGACGUUGUGGUGUACACUUUUGAAAAUAUUACCCAGGAUGCAUUAGAUUCUGAAACGGCGAAUUCCUCCUUAGUAUUAGAUAGAUACUUUGAACUCGCCAAAAUCAAUGUAAUUGCAGUUUUGAGCCAUAUGACCGCACAUUUAAUCGUGUUUUGAAAAUUACAUUACAGCGAAAAUAGCAAUUGUAUAUGCCUUGCUAAUAAAUUCAUAAUAUUUAAAAUUGUCAACAGCUAGGAUCAACUCAAUUAUUGAUACACUUAUUAUAGUGAAAGCAUUCUCAUUUUGACUUUCUUUCUUUAUCACUUGUUAGUACAUAAUUGUGAGAUUUUCUUUACACUGGACUAACCGGCUCUUUUGAAAUUUCAUGAACCCCAGCCUCUGGGGAACUUAGAUUCCAUGAUUAGAACAAUAAGCAAAGUUAACAGGGUAAACAUGCAAUAAUCUAUCAUCGAUUUUAUUUGUAGUCGGAUUAAUGUUUUAAAAUUUAUGCGUUUGCAUCAAUCAAUUUGAAAUCAUGUUGUAUUCAUAUUUACUUAUGAUAACGACCUAACUGUACAAAUGUGUCUUAGAACUAACCUUCAUUAGAUAAGCUCGAAUUCUAAAUAUCACCGAUAUAUUUAAUGCUUGAACUUUAUUGAAGAAGGCGCUUGUUUUCGAGGAUGAAAGUAUCGGGGAAAUGCGGAAAUCUUAAGGGCUGGUUUUAUUUUUCGAUUAAAUUUUAAAAAUCAUGAUGGUCCAAAUGUAGCAGAGAUUUCAAUAAUUUUAGAUAUUUUCUCAGAAGUGUUAAUAAGAUGCAUUUUUUUCAGCAACAAAAAAUAAGAAAAUAAAAGAAAAAGGUUUCAACCCCCUCACCUCACCCAGAUGCUAAAAUUUGUGGUUUUGAAGUUCAUCCAAAACACUUCAAACCUCAGGGGAUAUUUUCAGGGGAUAUUUUAACAUAAUAAGUGACUUUCCAAAAAAGAAUUUGAAAAAGGGCCUUGUCGUAUCUUGUCCUUUACGGCAUUGCUACACAUAAGUUACACAAUAUACAGAAAGUGCUCAAAACGUUAGCAGCUACUUCUAUUUUUGCCAAUACAGCAUAAAACAUAUAAUCAUUAUUAUAGACAAAAAUAAUGCUAUUUAGAAAUAUUAUAUAAAUGACAAAAAAAAAACAAAUUCAAGUUUACUGAAAAGUUGCAAAUACAUCUGUAUACACUUUUAUACAAGAUCUAACUAGACAAACAAUUGAAAUAAAGAAUGUAAGAUCACGAUAAAAACUAAUUUCUUCUUUAUUACUUUAGUUUUAUGUUGUAUUGUUUGCACUGGUUGUAAUUACGUAAGCUGCAUUAGUGAGGCUUUUAAACAAAUUGAAUGCAUUUAGUAAGUUCUCGUUGAAGAAUAUCUCGGUCAAAAUUGUUAUUUACUACGACCUGGUUACCAUCGUAUGAAUGAACACGUUACAAUUCAAACUUAACUUAAUAUGUAUUGCUGUAUACAGUUUUAAACAUUUAUGAGAGCUUUUAUCCUUAUUCUUAUCUCUUAGUAUUGCACAAGGUCAUGCAAUCUACUGAAUUUGUACAAGAGAUCUAAUGACUACCGAAAUAAACAGCUUUAGGUCAUUGUACGGCCCACAACAAUGAGCAAAGCACAUACUGCAUAGUCAGCUUUGUCCAGCUUCGUUCAACUGUUUUUAAUGCAAUCAUUUUUUUUUUUAUAAAUAAAUAAAAAAUGUUGUCGUAGUUGUCUCAUUUGCAUUCAAAAAAAUAUCUUCUUUUUUUAAUACUAAUCUUAAUGUUGAUUUUAAACUAUAAUAAUUGGCAAGAAAUUAAGCAUAGUGUUGUCAUCUUUCUGUAGGACUUUUGUACUGCCGUUAACGUCUUUGCGUCACGUCACAAAAAUGUUAUUUCACCGGGUCUUACGGUGCUAUUCCCCAUUCAUAAAAUAAUAUUAAAAAAUAACUAUCAAACAAGGAAGUCUCACUCAUUAUAUGGUAACUAUACUGAAAACACGCGAGCAAUACUAACAAAUGAUUUCCGGAACAGUUUUAAAUGUGGAGGUUACACAAGUUGUAGCACGUACCAUUUUUCUAUGCACCAGCCUGGUUUUGUACAGAGAUAAUUCAGCAAAAAAAAUCGUUUAAAAUUGAUUUCCCCUUGGCACAAUUUUAUCAUGCAAACGAGGUUGUUUUGAUCCAAAAACAUAAGUUUUAACGUAAGAAUGCGUCUGUUGUACGUAAAUGAAAUCAGACACGAAAAAACGGACCAACUCGGAACAUUAAGGUAAUAUUCUAUUUUUUUUUUUUAUAGUAAAACACAACUAAAACUUUAAGCAAACUUAUAGUAUCUGGUAAUUAAAUAACGAACUCUCUUCGUAUAAUCUGAUUUCACAUCCGGUCAAAUUUUAAGGUUAGAGAACUUACAUUUACCGAUCGAUGGUUUAUGAAUAAGUUGAUGACAAAGUUGAUAGACAUGAGAAAUUACAUCUUGAAAAUUGAAUCGUGUCUCAUCAAAGAUAUAUGACUGACAACGAUAAUUGUGACUAGUAGAGUAUGAACUGCUGACCCUUCCCGGAAACCUGGCUUGACUUCUGUUUUUGGAGGGUUUCGUAUUGCUUGAUCUGUAGUUUAUCUUGUAGUGUGAAGUGAACGUAUUUUGUCCUUUCGUUCGCUUUUUGUCUUUUGGUCAUGUACGUGUUGUCUGAUUGUCUUUGACAUCCAGUUUUCAUAUCUUCCAUUUAAACAUUGAAUGCAUAUACAUUGUACCUUGAAAUUUACUCCUAUAAAACUUCUAUGUCAGUUUUGGCAUUGGAAUGGAUUAUAAAGAAUGCUAAAGCAACAGUUCAUCGACCGAAGAAUGCUAAAGCAAAAAUUCGUCGACCAAAUCCAAACAGCACUUUAACUUUGAUUGGUAAUGUCCUGUGUUUCUGCAUAUUAUCGCAUGGACAUGGCUUCAUUCUCUAUCCUUCUAAUUCACUCUUGCCUGUCGUUUGUAGUUCUACAGACUUUCAUUCUAGAUAUACGCAUAUUACGCAACAGCAGAUUUAUUUUACGCUUGAAAAUUAAGUUUGAUAUGUGUACCCAUCUUUUUCAGAUAAUUAAGUUUAAUAUGUGUACCCAUAUUUUUCAAAUAAUUAUAUAUACUAAUCUUUUGGCAGAAUUUCUUUAUAGACAAAAGUUUGUUCGACUUAUCUUGUUUUCAAGGACAAAAUUAAAGUAUAAUACGAAACUCAUAAAGAUUAUCCGUUGGCGAUGCUUUAAUAGCACAAUGGACCUCCCCUUUAUUAAUGUUCCUUGUAGUCCGGUAUUUUUACCAUUCUUGUUUACCAUUACUGUGAUGCUCUCUAAAGCCCCAGUCCCACUAGAUCGUGGUGAGGUCGCGGUAUAAGCGGCAUGAAAAUGUUAAUUUUCGUUGCUUUCACGAUUCUACAUCGUCCUCUUUACGCUCUACAAAGAUCCCGCUACGAGUUAUAACGUUCUCACCGCUGCUUAUUUUUGGCGACCUCACUACGCUUAUCAAGAUCUUUCUACGCUCUUCACGUUCUCACUACGAUCCAUACCAUGAGUUAUCCGAUUGCAACACGAANNNNNNNNNNNNNNNNNNNNNNNNNNNNNNNNNNNNNNNNNNNNNNNNNNNNNNNNNNNNNNNNNNNNNNNNNNNNNNNNNNNNNNNNNNNNNNNNNNNNNNNNNNNNNNNNNNNNNNNNNNNNNNNNNNNNNNNNNNNNNNNNNNNNNNNNNNNNNNNNNNNNNNNNNNNNNNNNNNNNNNNNNNNNNNNNNNNNNNNNNNNNNNNNNNNNNNNNNNNNNNNNNNNNNNNNNNNNNNNNNNNNNNNNNNNNNNNNNNNNNNNNNNNNNNNNNNNNNNNNNNNNNNNNNNNNNNNNNNNNNNNNNNNNNNNNNNNNNNNNNNNNNNNNNNNNNNNNNNNNNNNNNNNNNNNNNNNNNNNNNNNNNNNNNNNNNNNNNNNNNNNNNNNNNNNNNNNNNNNNNNNNNNNNNNNNNNNNNNNNNNNNNNNNNNNNNNNNNNNNNNNNNNNNNNNNNNNNNNNNNNNNNNNNNNNNNNNNNNNNNNNNNNNNNNNNNNNNNNNNNNNNNNNNNNNNNNNNNNNNNNNNNNNNNNNNNNNNNNNNNNNNNNNNNNNNNNNNNNNNNNNNNNNNNNNNNNNNNNNNNNNNNNNNNNNNNNNNNNNNNNNNNNNNNNNNNNNNNNNNNNNNNNNNNNNNNNNNNNNNNNNNNNNNNNNNNNNNNNNNNNNNNNNNNNNNNNNNNNNNNNNNNNNNNNNNNNNNNNNNNNNNNNNNNNNNNNNNNNNNNNNNNNNNNNNNNNNNNNNNNNNNNNNNNNNNNNNNNNNNNNNNNNNNNNNNNNNNNNNNNNNNNNNNNNNNNNNNNNNNNNNNNNNNNNNNNNNNNNNNNNNNNNNNNNNNNNNNNNNNNNNNNNNNNNNNNNNNNNNNNNNNNNNNNNNNNNNNNNNNNNNNNNNNNNNNNNNNNNNNNNNNNNNNNNNNNNNNNNNNNNNNNNNNNNNNNNNNNNNNNNNNNNNNNNNNNNNNNNNNNNNNNNNNNNNNNNNNNNNNNNNNNNNNNNNNNNNNNNNNGAUAUCGUUUUUCUACAGAUGACAAUCGUUUUAAUAUCUUUAUAUUGGAAGGUUAAACAACUGUCUUGUAUUAAAUUUACAGAAGUAUCAGAAAGCUCACUAGAUCAAGGUUUUCACACAACAUGUGACAUGAUUAGAACAUCAUAUUUUUGCAAUUUUUCUAAAUUUAGAAGUUUUCAGGCUUUUUUCAGUGGUCAUCAGAUGGUUUUGACAUCCAGUGUUGGUUAACUGGUAAUUGUCAGUUAAUUCAUCAUGUACGUAUGUAAUCCAUGUGUUUAACUUUUAAUCUUGGUAUUUACAUUUUUACACAAAAUAUAUUAAUGAAAGCAUGACAAAUACAUUUGUCUUAUAUUGAGUUUCUGUUAUGUUGUCUCAUGGACGUAAACACUACUAAAACACACCCGCGAAAUCGCGGGCAUUCAAAGCGUGGUUGAAAGUAUGUAAAGUGUUGUAGGAAAAUUUUGUAAAAGAUUUAAUGACUUGAGUAUUUCAGGAAAAGUAUCAAAAGUCAUAGGUACUUGGGGACAGGAAAAUGUAUUUUUUUUUUUAUCCUUCUUCCUUUAUUUCCAAAUUUCCCAUAUUGUUUUGUUUUCUACUAUUUUCAUUAUGAAAAUACAUUUAGUAUAUUAUGAACAUUCUAGUCAGGAACCUGUAAUUCAGUGGUUGUCGUUUGUUUAUGUGUUACAUGUUUGUUUUUCGUUUAUUUUUUCGUACAUAAAUAAGGCCCUUAGUUUUCCCGUUUGAAUUGUUUUACAUUGUCAUUUCGGGGCCUUUUAUAGCUGACUAUCAGUAUGGGCUUUGCUCAUUGUUGAAGGCCGUACGGUGACCUAAAGUUGUUAAUUUCUGUGCCAUUUUGGUCUCUUGUGGAGAGCUGUCUCAUUGGCAAUCCAGUGGCGGAUCCAGAACUUGUCAUAAGAGGGGACCCGCUGACUGACAUAAGGGGUCAUGCUUCAGUGAUUCCAUAAAUAAGCAACCACAUUUUUCCCACGAAAGGGGAGGGGCAGGCCGCCCGCCCCCUUGGAUCCACCUAUGCAAUCAUACCACAUCUUCUUAUUUUUGGGAUCAAUUAAUUUUUGUAAAAGAUUUAAUGACUGAUGAAUUUCAGAAAAAGGUAUCAUGAGUCAUAGGUAUUUUGGGACAGGACAAUUGCUUUCUAGUCCGUGUCCACCUUUUUUUCACCCAAAAUUCCCAUUUUUUUUUUCAAUUAAUUUUAAUAACACAUGAAUAAUGUUAGCGCUCAUCUGUAUAUUAUGAACAUUCAUUACUCUGAAUAAAGUGUAAUUUGCUUUUUACUUUCAAUUCUCAGUUUAAUAAUCGAUCCAAGGCGGUCAUUGAUACAUUAUACAGACCCUCUCUAUUUAAUAAGCUCUGUGACCGCCGUAGAUAGUAAACUUGAAAACGAUAUCAGGUAGAAAAUUCACUUUAUUCGUAGUAUAUCAUAUGUAUGAUCAAAGUAUACAGUAAACGCAAACCGGAAGUCUAAUCGGACUUAAAAUUUCGUCCAAUGACGGAACAAUAUCCGUAUGCCUUUUUUCUCGUUUUUCUCCCAAAAUAACUCAAUCUGAAUAAUUAUAUGAAUGGAUGACAAAUGCGACUUUGCACUGGACCUAUAUGACACAGAGGCAUGAUGAUUAACUUAUUGUGGAAAGAAGAGAAGCGACACACAAAAUGAGGUCUUCUCGUUUAAUAGUAUAGAUAUUUUGUUUAUUCAUAAUAAUACAAAGUAUGUUACGCAAGGUUAAAACAUUAAGUGUGUUCCUGAAACAAAGUUGAACGCGGAAGCAAAGCCUUCCUUGAUGGCUUAACAUACUUGUUAGAUUCAUGAAGAGCAAGUAGGAUAAUAUUUAUAAAAGCAUGAAAAUUAAAUUUGUGCUAUUAUUGAGUUCUGUAAUGUUUUAUUGAAGUAAAUACAAAAUGUUGAUAAUUCAUACUAUAAAGCAUGUAACGCAAGGUUAAAGUGUUCAUUUGUUCUGAAAAUAAGUUGAAACAACAAAAGACUUCCUUGUUGUUAGAUUCAGAUAGAGCAAGUUAACUUAUUUCUAUGUAAUGAUAAUACAAAUGGUUUUUUACAUGGUGUCAAGGUGAUUGUAAUAUCAUACAACGCAAUUAGCACUGAUCUUAAGUGGUGCUAGACUGCAAAAUAAACGGAUUCAACUUAUAAGACUAACACAGUUAAACACGUUACGUUUUUUGACAAAUGAUCUCCAGAUAUUAGAUUGAGCAAUAAGAUAUAAAAAAGAAGACAUGGUAUGAUUGCCAAUGAGACGAAUCUCCACAAGAGACCAAAAUGACACAGAAAUUAACAACAAUAGGUCACCGUACGGCCUUCAACAAUGAGCAAAGCCUAUACUGCAUAGUCAGCUAUAAAAUACCCCGAAACGACAAUGUAAAACAAUUCAAAAGAGAAAACUAACGGUCUUAUUCAUAAAAAAAAAUUGAACGAAAAACAAAUAUGUAACACAUUAGCAAACGACAACCACUGAAUUACAGGCUCCUGACUUGGGCCAGACACACACUUAAAUAAUGUGGCGGGGUUAAAGAGUUCACCAUGUACCAAUGUACGUACUAUGUUUCGAUUAGUACAAUCACAGUAAUAAAGUCUUUCGCAAUCAUGAAUAGUAAAAUAGCCGAACAGGUCUAGAAGCUCCAGAAAGUUAGCGUUUUUCUAUGCAGGAAUACAAUUCAGUUACUAGUAUUAGAUUUUUAAUUUGCAUUUAAAAGAACAAGUUCAUGUGAACUAGAUGGCUCCUUUACUUCUUGGUGAUCGCUUUGACAGGGCAAGCACAAGUUUCCUCCACACUUCUCUUUUGUUUGAUUUUCUUUCCGCUGUGCUUCAGGUAUAUCCUCCUUCUCUUGUUUCAUUUUCUUUUGUGUGCCUUAAUUCGAGUGUUUUUGAACUAGAUGUCUGUGAGUUCAAACAUUUUAUUUUUUCUGAUGAAAUACAGGUUAGUUAGUGAAAAAUUCGGGGACAAUGUAAAAAUACUUUAAUACUUUACGAGAACAUAUUUGAAUACGACUUACAAAUUACGAGAACAUAUUUGAAUACGACUUACAAAUUACGAGAACAUAUUUGAAUACGACUUACAAUUCUUUCACAGAAUGUUCAGUUGUAAGUCAUAGAAAAAAUCCAGUUGUCAAUUUAUGCCUCAUUGAAAAAUCUUUAAACGCGUCAAGUAUGUAUUUAUAAUGACCACAUCACUUAAGCAAUUACGUAUACACAUGAAUAAAAGUAGAUGUGGAUAAUUAACAUCAAUGACACAGUGUUAACAAUUCAAAGAAGUGAACAAAAAUAAAAUGCAUCUUCAUUACUUUAAAGAGAGACAGAAAUUACAGAAAGGACAAUCGCUAAAAGACAAACGACAAUAUAAAAAUUCACAAAUGUCUACAGAAACUUUGAAUGAUUCACAAAUGUCUACAGAAACUUUGAAUGAUUCACAAAUGUCUACAGAAACUUUGAACGUGUUGAUGUUACAUGAAUGAAGACUGUAAUAGUGUCACUUGUUAUCAUAAAUGUCUUAAAGGUUUGAUAAAAUUCCUGGUUCGAAAUCCACUAUUUGGUUACAUAAGCCUAAACCUCCAACCAAGUGAAGACUCUAAUAAAUGUUCAUUCCAGACUUAAAUAGGAAAUAUGCAAAAUUGUAUUGAUUUAAGAAGUUUAGCCAAUAUCCCUGUGUUCUUUUUUUUUAAGUAACAGUUUCAAAAUCAAAAAGUUAUUAGAAACAGCCCUAGCAACAAUCAUAAACCUAAUUUCUUUCGAAGGUUGGGGAGGGGAAGAGAGAAUAUGAUUACAUUCAAUUCGAAAAUUGAUGCCACAUUGGAGAAUAUACACUAAUGGGCAUAUGCGAGAGAGAGAGGUGCUAAGACUUGCUAAGACUAAACACUAAAUUUAAUAAUAAACUGUAUAUACAAUGUACACCCGUUCUUUCUAAAGAAUUUACUAUAUACAGAAUUGACCAUUGUGUUCACUACUUCAUUAGAACUCUGGUUGACGGUUGUCGUAUUGGCAAUCGUACCACGUCUCCUUAUUUUACAUACAUGUACGUGCUAAACAAAAUACACUUUGCCAUUAAGAAAUUCUUAAAUCCUAUUUAAGUAAGGCCCUGAACACAACAAACCAACGAUUAUGUGACUAACAGAGAGAUAAAAAUCACUUCAAUCUCUUAAUUUUCAACAUCGAACAGUCACAAAUCAAACUCAUUCUGCUAUUUUUUAAAGGUACACUUAAUUGUUGUGCACUGUCUUAUUCUUAAAGGUACUUGAAUGUUUUAUGUUCAAGAUCUGAUUAGCCAAAUGAAUGGUUUUAUCCUUUUUAUGGGAUAAAUUUCAUUUAUUGUUACCUUUGGGAUGACUUAAGAGACUUGGUAGCAACAUGGUAAAUGAAGGUGUUUCCGGUGUUCUAAAAAUGCUGUCAGAUACAAUAGGUGUAGAUCUUCAUCUAUAUCAUGUGGACAUGCCACAGUUUUAUUCUUUCAAUCAUUUCAUAUGUUAGCAAACAUAAAAUGUUCUAGUAUAUAGUUUCUAGCAAUCGAUGAGCAUGAGUUUUAAGAGCCUUACUUGUCUGAUUAGUGGGAUCAAAUGUGGCAUAUUUGGUGUAAAGUUGACAAUAUGUAUUAAAAAAAUGCAUCGAAGGAUAGUAUUAUAUAAAUAACACAUAGCUGAGAGGGUGAUAGAGCAGAUUGUUACCCCGAGAAAACAUUGUCAACUGCGGCGAAGCCAAGGUUGACAAUGUCUUUUCGAGGGGUAACAAUCUGCUCUAUCACCCUCUCAGGUAUGUGUUAUUUAAUUUAUUAUACUGAAUGUUCUGUUAUUACUGUCGAUUAAAUUUUAAAUUCAAAGUAAUAAACUAUGACAUCUUGUACAUAACCUUCCGUAUUUAAUAAAGCGCACACUUGAUCAAACGUCUCCGUGAAGGGUAAUAGAGUAUUUGCCAAAGGAUAGAUUCGUAUUUAAUAAAGCGCACACUUGAUCAAGCGUCUCUGUGAAGGGUGAUAGAGUAUAUGUCAUAGGAUAGAGUCGUAUUUAAUAAAGCGCACACUUGAUCAAGCGUCUCCAUGAAGGGUAAUAGAGUAGAUUGACACCCUCGUAUUAGCCAAUCAAAAUCUGGCAUUUUGACAUGAAGUAUAAUAAAUCGAUUUGUUAGUGUAACUUCUAAAGAAUAUCUUUACUUCUAAAAUAAUGUUUUGGUAUAUCAAUUCCUUCUUAGUAUUAGAUGAGGCCCCUCAUGUGGGGGGGGGGGGUCCUAGUAAUCACAUAAUCACCAUUUUUUUGCCAAUAUAAUCACAUAAUCAUUAAAUAUUUGCUUAUCUUUAGUAAUCAAAUAAUCAUAAACUAAAAAUACAGUCCUAGGUAAUCAAAUAAUCAUGAAAUAUUUGGCUUAAUAAUCAAAUAAUCAUUAAAAAAACGGCCAAGUAAUCACAUAAUCAAAAACCCCAUGAGGGCCCUCUUAGAUAGAUACUUUGAACUCGCCAAAAUCAAUGUAAUUGCAGUUUUGAGCCAUAUGACCGCACAUUUAAUCGUGUUUUGAAAAUUACAUUACAGCGAAAAUAGCAAUUGUAUAUGCCUUGCUAAUAAAUUCAUAAUAUUUAAAAUUGUCAACAGCUAGGAUCAACUCAAUUAUUGAUACACUUAUUAUAGUGAAAGCAUUCUCAUUUUGACUUUCUUUCUUUAUCACUUGUUAGUACAAAAUUGUGAGAUUUUCUUUACACUGGACUAACCGGCUCUUUCAAAAUUUCAUGAACCCCAGCCUCUGGGGAACUUAGAUUCCAUGAUUAGAACAAUAAGCAAAGUUAACAGGGUAAACAUGCAAUAAUCUAUCAUCGAUUUUAUUUGUAGUCGGAUUAAUGUUUUAAAAUUUAUGCGUUUGCAUCAAUCAAUUUGAAAUCAUGUUGUAUUCAUAUUUACUUAUGAUAACGACCUAACUGUACAAAUGUGUCUUAGAACUAACCUUCAUUAGAUAAGCUCGAAUUCUAAAUAUCACCGAUAUAUUUAAUGCUUGAACUUUAUUGAAGAAGGCGCUUGUUUUCGAGGAUGAAAAUAUCGGGGAAAUGCGGAAAUCUUAAGGGCUGGUUUUAUUUUUCGAUUAAAUUUUAAAAAUCAUGAUGGUCCAAAUGUAGCAGAGAUUUCAAUAAUUUUAAAUAUUUUCUCAGAAGUUAAAAGAUGCAUUUUUUUCAGCAACAAAAAAUAAGAAAAGAAAAGAAAAAGGUUUCAACCCCCUCACCUCACCCAGAUGCUAAAAUUAGUGGUUUUGAAGUUCAUCCAAAACACUUCAAACCUCAGGGGAUAUUUUCAGGGGAUAUUUUAACAUAAUAAGUGACUUUCCAAAAAAGAAUUUGAAAAAAGGCCUUGUCGUAUCUUGUCCUUUACGGCAUUGCUACACAUAAGUUACACAAUAUACAGAAAGUGCUCAAAACGUUAGCAGCUACUUCUAUUUUUGCCAAUACAGCAUAAAACAUAUAAUCAUUAUUAUAGACAAAAAUAAUGCUAUUUAGAAAUAUUAUAUAAAUGACAAAAAAAAACAAAUUCAAGUUUACUGAAAAGUUGCAAAUACAUCUGUAUACACUUUUAUACAAGAUCUAACUAGACAAACAAUUGAAAUAAAGAAUGUAAGAUCACGAUAAAAACUAAUUUCUUCUUUAUUACUUUAGUUUUAUGUUGUAUUGUUUGCACUGGUUGUAAUUACGUAAGCUGCAUUAGUGAGGCUUUUAAACAAAUUGAAUGCAAUUUAGUAAGUUCUCGUUGAAGAAUAUCUCGGUCAAAAUUUUUAUUUACUACGACCUGGUUACCAUCGUAUGAAUGAACACGUUACAAUUCAAACUUAACUUAAUAUGUAUUGCUAUAUACAGUUUCAUACAUUUAUGAGAGCCUUUAUCCUUAUUCUUAUCUCUUAGUAUUGCACAAGGUCAUGCCAUCUACUGAAUUUGUACAAGAGAUUUAAUGACUACCGAAAUAAACAGCUAUAGGUCACUGUACGGCCCACAACAAUGAGCAAAGCACAUACUGCAUAGUCAGCUUUGUCCAGCUUCGUUCAACAGGUUUUUAAUGCAAUCAUUUUUUUUAUAAAUAAAUAAAAGAUGUUGUCGUAGUCUCAUUUGCAUUCAAAAAAAUAUCUUCUUUUUUUAAUACUUAUCUUAAUGUUGAUUUUAAACUAUAAUAAUUGGCAAGAAAUUAAGCAUAGUGUUGUCAUCUUUCUGUAGGACUUUUGUACUGCCGUUAACGUCUUUGCGUCACGUCACAAAAAUGUUAUUUCAUCGGGUCUUACGGUGCUAUUCCCCAUUCAUAAAAUAAUAUUAAAAAAUAACAAUCAAACAAGGAAGUCUCACUCAUUAUAUGGUAACUAUACUGAAAACACGCGAGCAAUACUAACAAAUGAUUUCCGGAACAGUUUUAAAUGUGGAGGUUACACAAGUUGUAGCACGUACCAUUUUUCUAUGCACCAGCCUGGUUUUGUACAGUCUGAGAGAUAAUUCAGCAAAAAAAAAAACGUUUAAAAUUGAUUUCCCCAUGACAUAAUUUUAUCAUGCAAACGAGGUUGUUUUGAUCCAAAAACAUAAGUUUUAACGUAAUUAUGCGUCUGUUGUACGUAAAUGAAAUCAGACACGAAAAAAACGGACCAACUCGGAACAUUAUGGUAAUAUUCUAAUUUUUUAUAGUAAAACACAACUAAAACUUUAAGCAAACUUAUAAUAUCUGGUAAUUAAAUAACGCACUCUCUUCGUAUAAUCUGAUUUCACAUUCGGUUAAAUUUUAAGGUUAGAGAACUUACAUUUACCGAUGGUUUAUGAAUAAGUUGAUGACAAAGUUGAUAGACAUGAGACAUUACAUCUUGAAAAUUGAAUCGUGUCUCAUCAAAGAUAUAUGACUGACAACGAUGGUUGUGACUUGUAGAGUAUGAACUGCUGACCCUUCCGGGAAACCUGGCUUGACUUCUGUUUUUGGUGGGUUUCGUAUUGCUUGAUCUGUAGUUUAUCUUGUAGUGUGAAGUGAACGUAUUUUGUCCUUUCGUUCGCUUUUUGUCUUUUUGGUCAUGUACAUUUGCACAUGUUGUCUGAUUGUCUUUGACAUCCAGUUUUCAUAUCUUCCAUUUAAACAUUGAAUGCAUAUACAUUGUACCUUGAAAUUUCCUCCUAUAAAACUUCUAUGUCAGUUGAGUUGGUGUGUGGUGAAGAGUUGUCUCAAUGGCAAUCAUACCAGAUAUUAAUAUUUUUAUAAUUAAGUAUAAUAACAUAAUUAACAGUCUUUUUUUUUAAUAAAUGAUGACAAUAUUGCACGUUUGAGAGUCAUUAGAAUUGGAAUGGAUUAUAAAGAAUGCUAAAGCAAAAAUUUGUCGACCGAAUUCAAACAGCUCUUUAACUUUGAUUGGUAAUGUAGGUGUGUUUCUGCAUGUUAUCGCAUGGACAUGGUUUCAUUCUCUAUCCUUCUAAUUCACUCUUACUUGUCGUUUGUAGUUAUACAGACUUUCAUUCUAGAUAUACGCAUAUUUCGCAACAGCAGAUUUAUUUUCCGCUUGAAAAUUAAGUUUGAUAUGUCCAUCUUUUUCAGAUAAUUAAGUUUAAUAUGUGUACUCAUCUUUUUCAAAUAAUUAUAUAUACUAAUCUUUUGGCAGAAUUUCUUUAUAGACAAAAGUUUGUUCUUGUUUUCAAAAACAAAAUAAAAGUAUGAUACGAAACUCAUGAAGAUUAUCCGUUAGCGAUGCUUUAACAGCACAAUGGACCUCCCCCUUUAUUAAUGUUCCUUGUAGUCCUGUAUUUUUACCAUUCUUGUUUACCAUUAAUGUGAUGCUCUCUAUUGAAAAAAACUAUGACCGAUAUUAUUGAAUUUUAUUACCAUAGAAAUGCUCUUCCUAAACUAUGUCAUUACUUGCAUAUAAGGUACACGUUUACGUAAUGCAUUCAAAUAAACAGUAUAAAACUAAAUAUUGUAACUGGUUUUUGGAACAAUUAAGAUUCAUGACCAUAAAUUUGCGAAUAUAAUCAGAUGUAAAAUGUUCUAUUUGAAUUCUAAACCCAUUCAAAUCUAGUGAAAUAGAAAAGUUCUCAUUUAUUGAGAGAAAUAAUUAAAGAAAAUAACAAAUAGAAAAUAGUUUUCUUCCUGUUACGUUUUUCUAUGUAAUUUGUAGCACGUAACAGAUAUAAUUAGUUGUAUGUUGAACAAGCACAUAACUGAAAAUGUAUUGGUUAAUAUAUAUUAAAUUGGAUAAUAUGUCAAUUAAAGCUCGAUUGUGUAAAACUCGGUUGAAAAAGUCAUUCAAAAACAUAAUUUGUAAAAAAAAAUAUUAUUCGAAAUUGUAUUAUUUGACUUGCGUUAUAUGACCGAUUCAUCAAGCUUCCUUGAUUUUUUUUUAUAUUUUCAAAGCACGUAAAACUGCAUUCUACAUAGAAAUGAAUAAAUUCUAUGUGAUGUGUUUUGUUCAAAUUUACAGAUCUGUUAAUGUCGAUUCAAUUCCGACCUUCAGCUUUAUAACAUCUGUAUUUUGCAUAUCAUCUAAAACCAUCAAUCAAUUAUUAAUUCAGACAUAGAAAUAUAAUUAUCCUCAUGAAAUUAGAUAAGAAUUCAAUAUGAUAUUAAAAACAUAUCUACUUUGUAUAUACACAGAAACAUACAUAUACACAUUAGAAAGGCAUAAGAUGGGUUGAAAUAAAUAUAUGUAAAUGCUAAAGCAGAACCGUUUAAUAUAACUGACCUUCGAAUAAAAACUAUAAACUUAAAUAAAAUUGAGAAUGGAAAUGGGGAAUAUGUCAAAGAGACAACAACCCAAUCAAAGAUCAGAUAACAGUCGAAGGAAGUGUAAAAAUAGAAACAUUUUGUGUGAGUGUUCUUCUUUUCAAUUUGUUUGAGUGAUUGAUACCUUCCAUUGGUAUUUUUAAACCUAAUAAUUCAUUUUCAGCUUACUCUUAUUUUUGGACUUAAAAAUAUGGUCGCAUCGAUAGUUUUGCAACCCUUUCCUUUGUUGGGACGUCUAUGAAAACGAGAAUACGCAUAACUCUAAGCACGACUCUUAUUUUCUGUAAAUUGGACUCGAUCGUUAUGUUAACAAUUGGAACGUUAAGACAUUCUAACAAAAGUGAAACUUCCUGUGUAGAAAUAACUUAAAAACAAGUUUUUCCUGAAAACGAAAAGAACCCGAAUUUUGAUCAAACAUUGCAUGACAUAAUUUGUGUCCAUGAAAGAUGUUACGCAAUCAGAAACUUAUUUUCCGAUCAAAUUUGAAACAAGCGGAAAGCGACACUUAAACCUAAAAAGGUAUAUAAGUUCGAAUUGAAAUAUAUAAUGAAAACAUCGUGCCGUAAGGUAUUAAUUUAAAAGGAUUAUUUUCGUGUCCUGGGCGAACAAGAAAGGUUAGAUCGUUAUCCGUAUUGCAUGCAAGUUAUAUCAACGAAAAAGGAACACUUUAAAAGACAACAUCAGUCUCUUUAUUACUUUAAACAUUUUCUAUUUUCAGAUAGAAAAGCAAAUGUAAAAUGUUUACGGUGCAUUUUGUAUUCAACAGAUCAAUAACUAUUAUAGUAUACUAAUACAAUCUACAAUGUAUCAUUCACUUUAUAUUUUAAAUUGAAAGACGCCACUUUUGGAUUACUGUUUUGUUGUGUAUUUAACUUGGUCAACUAUUAACUCAGCUAUUAGCCUAAAUGCGCAUGGCUUAAAAAAAUAAUAGAUCAUGCUAUUAGUACAGAAAAUCUUCUGUAGCUAAUGGAAGUUUGUGACAUGUAUUACCUUUGACUAAUUAAGAUUUACUUUGAAACAAUUCCGAUAACACUACAAAUUAAAAACAUCAAUUUUGGUGCCUUUACGAUACCAUCAACAGCCGUUAGACAUGUUUGUAUGUUUUGUUCAUGAUAAACACAAUUUUCAGUUGAUCUUUAUCAAUUGUGUGAAAAAUCACACGGUUUCGUACUCAGAUUAACGUGUAUUAAAAUGCUUCACUAUAUAUCAUGUUUCAACAUUUUUAAUUGUUGCUUUACGCUCAAACAAUCAUUUACCAGUGGCGGAUCCACAAGGGGUGCCCACUGACUGCCUAAAAGAAGACCCACUCCAGUCAUGCUUCAGUGAUUCCCCAAAUAGUGAACCAAAUUCCCCCUGUUCACGGCCUUAAUAAACCAAAACGUCAGUUUAAUUUCAUUAUUCUUCAAUUGAUUACUUUGUAAGGAGAAGUGUAUUAAAAUUUCAUGACUUUUUCUCUCUCGUGAAACUUCAUAACCCGAUUUACCUCAUUUUUUAAAAAAAAUCUAAGCUUUCCACUCUUUGUUUGUUUUUUACUAAGAUGCAUAGUUUGAGGUAUAUUCUUUCUGCUAGAGUAUCAAUUCACGGGUAAAAACGAAUGCACCAAGAGCGAAAUAUAUACACAAUUUGGCGAUACACUGGGUUUUAGAUAAAUUUAGCAUGGAAUUAAAACUCAAAAACUGCAUAUGAAUAUCAUACAUAUUAUAUGCAUACAGCUUUUAUACCUUCAGAGAAACAGUAAAAGUUUGUUCGAUGAAAUAGAUCUGUAAAAUUAUAUAUGGUACGUAAAAAUGGUCGCAAAGUGCAUUAUUUUAUAUGCGAUUCCUCUCAAUUCAAUUUAUAACAUUAUGAACCUUCCCUGUUAUCAAAAGAUUUAUAUGCAACGUACAACGCUUGAUUUAUAUCAUUAAAAUAUAAUGAGAUCACGAUGUGGGAAUGCCAAUGACACAACUGUUCAGCAAAGUUCAAACAAAGUAAAUGUUAGCAAUUGUAGGUAAUUGUAAGACCUUCAACAAUGAGAAAAACCCAGUCCGUAUAGUCGGCUACGAAACACGGUUUAUUACAUGUAAAUACUCUUUUUAAUGAAGAAAUGAAACCCUUUUUUUAAUAUCUGUUCCGGACCAUAUGAGUAUUUGGAUCAUACGCGUAUGGUUGGGGUAAGUAACAGGUUUACUUUUAAUACUUAAAACUUUUCGCAUAACCCUUCUAGUUGUCACGUCAUUUGAAAAAAAGACAUUAACAAAGGUCAGGAAUAACAUUUUAUACCUAUAGUCAUUACCGAUAAGUUAUUACGAGUGAUCGAAUGGCAAAAUAUCGACUUGGGAAGAUAACUUCCAAAAAUAUCUGACACAAAAAAAGUGAACUGUUUUACUAUAAACUGACGUCAAAGUCGACAUGGAGGAUAAAGAGUCUACUACGUAUAUAGCUUGUUGUUGGUGUGAGCCAAGGCUCCGUGUUAAAGGCCGUACAUUGGCCUAUAAUGGUUUACUUUUAUAAAUUAUUUGGAUGGAAUGUUGUCUCAUUGGCACUCACACCACAUCUUCCUUUAUCUUAAUAAUUUGCUUACUUUUGAAACUUUAUGUAAUUAUCGUUAGCAGUUCAGAAUCUUGUUACUUAUACAUAAUUUUGUUUUUACAUUUUAUGAUAUUGAAGAUCUAGAGCUUCUUAAAACACCAUAGACACAUCGGAACGACCCAUUACCCAAGAAAAGCUAUGGUACCGUGUGGAAGUAAAUCAUGCAAGAAUACAAUUAGCGAUGAAAACUAACUUUGGCAAUGAUAUUCAAUGUUUAUGUAGCCUUUGAAUUAUAAAAAAGGGACGACAGAAACCAGAGGGACAGUCAAACUGAUAAAUCGAAAAUAAACUGACAACUCCAUGGCUAAAAAUGAAAAAGACAAACAAACAAUAGUACACAUGACACAACAUAUAAAAUUAAAGAAUAAGCAGCACGAACCCCACCAAAGACUAGGGGUGAUCUCAGGUGCUCCGGAAGGGUAAGCAUGUUCUGUUAAUAAUACAUUUUCAUGUAGACAUCAUUGCUUUUUUUAUAAAGUUUUCUAAUGCAUAUUAUUGAAAAAAAAUACUUAUAUGGUCCAAAUACUCAUAUGGUCCGGAACAUAUCCAAGCAUCAAGCGUCCGUUUAUCGCUUCGGUUAGCGUCAAAUAGAGUAAAAUGUUUAUCGUUAAAGUUUUUUUUUCCAAAAUGUUUUGCCGUCAUUCGUUAUAUGGGGUACCACAUUCCUAUCCUCUUUAAUAUGAUGUAUGCAUUGAUUAAACUUUUGAUUGGCACCCUUGGUGUGUGUAUCUGUUGAACUGAUAGGUCAUUGUGUCCGUUAUAAACGCGACACAGAAAUUGUCACAAGAAAUGCCCAUCCUCUGCUUAACACACUGAUAAAGAUUAUGUGACCAAGAAAACCACGCGUGACGCGAAAGAAUUAGCGUCGUAUAAAACAAAAUAUUUUGACCUGAAAAUAACGAUUAGAACAAGCGUCGUAAAUAUUGGAGUCGGAAGAGAUCGUAAUCUUAUAUCGUUAUGAAUUGUAAAUAAUAAGUGGUAAAAAUAUACGAAUGCAACAAUUAUACGUGUAGGGUGAUUAUUUGAUUUGUAAUAAACGGAACAAAAUGUGGGAAGUCCCUUAUCAUUCUGCAAGUACUUUCUAGUCUAUAAAUCUCUAAGUAUAUCUGUACCACCAUUUUGUUGGUCAUCUUGUACGUUAUUUAUUGGUCGCUAUAGUUUCUUGUGAAAGUUGUAAAGUAAAAUGACCACUCACACGAUAAUUUCGGAAGAUAAGAAGACUAAUAAGCUAUAAUGGCCAAAACUUAAUCAAAUUGUGUUUCCAAUAAAACUUUAGAAAUAAACAAAAUUAUUUACUUUCCAUGAUUAAUCUGACUUGAUUGUUUAUUGUAUCCUUCAUAAAUUUCAUAACUUGACAUUUAUUUGUUUAGACAUUUUUGUUACAUAUUUCUUAAUGGUCGAACUGAGAUCAAACUUACAUUAACAGCUACUAUGGUAAGAAAACAUUUUAUUUUUUUAAUUCUAAAAUGAUAACUAUAUAUACUAACCUUCAAACGACUUCCACAUGUCUUAUUGGUGUUUUGUUUUAACCAAAAUUAAAAAUCGUACACGAAUAACAAAAACCAGAGGCUCCUGACCUGGGACAGGCGCAAACAUGCGGCGGGGUUAAAGUGUACGUUAUAUCUAUUUUAAAGGAAGUUCUAGUAUAGUAAAAAUUCACGCGUGCUAUUCGCUGUACACAUUUUGAAGAAGUCUUAGUUUUUUUUAUCAUGCUAUAUUUAGAGGUACAUAUUUAUGGGAUUGUUUUCCAUAUAUUAUAGACAAUACUUGUUUACCGAUGUUAAAUACUCAAAAAACUUAAAAGCAAAAUAUGCAUUAAAUUUUAACAGCUUUCAAAGACAAUUGGUCAGUAAGUGCAGCCGAUGUUUUCCACAAGGAAACAGGGCACAUCAAUAUGAACAAAAGAAAAUCUGUUGGGUACAAACUACUGAAUAUUUUAAAAAUCAUAUGACAAAAUAUAAAAAUCGAUUGGUUUUUACUUAAAAUGCAAAUAUAACAAAAUAGUAUCCUCAUUGUAAGCGAUAAUAUUGAGUUUGCAAGAGACCAAUUCUUGCUUGUAUUAUCUAUACGCAACACUAUCAGUUUUUAAUUUUGCUAUGUCACGUUUAAAAAAAUCGAACUGGUAUAUAUUCUUACGAGACAUAAGUUUCGGGUGUUUACAUUAGUUUAAUGAGUUUCGGGUGUUUACAUUAGUUUAAUGAGUUUCGGCUGUUUAAAUUAGUUUGAUGAAUGCAAUGUGAUUUUCGUAUCAAGACAUUUCGAGGAGAAUCAUUUCAGACCAUAGCCUAAGCUGUCUGUAACUAAUUUAGAAAAUAUUUAACAACUGAAAUCGUUCCAGGAAUAAUGUCAAAUUUAGCAUAUCAUCAACAAUCAUUUUGAAAAGUGCAAAAUAAAGUUAAUACUAGCAUCGUUAAACUAGUUUGUACGCAAGCACAUGUCAUCUAGUUCUAUUUUUAUCAUGUCAAUCAUAUUCAAUGAAUGAUAAAAAAAAGGAAAAAGCAUAAUUUUCAAUCCAUCAAAUUGGUAUCAUUUUUUUCCCCGAGAACCGUAAAGAGUCUUAUUAUAGCAAACAGGAAUAAGAAAUUGUCUAAUUAAAUGAAUAUUACUUUACGAAUCUCUUGUGUUGGUUUGUUCGCGCUAUUACCGAUAUUACAAUUAAAUAUCUCGGAAAAUUUGAUAUUAAUUUCGAUAAUGUCUUGGUUUGAGGAAAUUGCGUCGAUUGCUAUCUCGAGCACCGGAAGCGGUUACCACCCCGGUCCCUUGAGCAAUUUUAAUUCAGGUUUAGUUUUUGUUUGUUUAUAAUUUGUAUUGAUAUCGUUUACAAAGUCAAAUACACACUCUAGUCAAAUUACAUAGAGCUACAAGCAAGAACAUAAAAAACAUGCGUUUGUGCAUGAACGUCAAGACACUAUCGAUUGUUUCCUUGAAAUAGUUAUGACGUAACCCCAUUUAUGAAAAAGGUAUACAAUGUACUCAAGGUAUUUAGCCUGAUAACCAAUCAACAAGCUGAAAGAUUUAUUUUGAUAUCCAGAAGUGCAACAGCGUUAUAUUUUAUAUGUAAGAACAAUCGGUUCAUAGUUCACAGACAACAACUAAGAAGAGGGACACAAAAAUGAACACCAAUAGCUUUCUUUAUGAUUCUUUAUUAGUUUUUUUCAUUCCUCACUUUCUUUUUUCCAUUAUCAUUGCAUGCAUUUUAAUAAACUGACACCAAAUCCGGAAUUACGAAGUUCGAUUAGAUUUUUUAAGCUGAUGAAAUCGCAGUAGUUUUUCUAAUUUCGCUUCUUGUAGUCAGCAGUAUAGUAUUAGGAAUAAAUGAAUGAUAUGUAUAGUAUAACAGUUCGCAGUCGUACAGGAUAAAUUAAUCCUUCCAAGACACCUGAUAUUCCGAAAUCAUUUAUGAAUCAAUUGAGUUUUUUUUUUUUUUUUUUUUUUUUUUGGGGGGGGGGGUCUGUUUAUUAAAGUUUAUGUGUCUUUUUUUAUUUUUUUAUGUUGGUCUUUGUAAACAUGUUUGUUGCAUCAGUUAUGCUUUACUUCAAUUACGUUCGACUAACUCUCCCUUCUUGACACACUCACUGCUUUCACACUUAAUUUUCUAUCAUAAUCUAUUUGAUUCUUUAGUAAAACCAAUUAUGACCUAUAAUUCAGAAGAAACAUAUUUGGAUACAUAUAUUUCUUUUCAUAGAGCUAAAAACAGAGCCUUAUCUUCAGGAAAACAAAUAAAUCAACAUGAUUUUACAGACAAAACCCCUACUGAUGUUGUUUCAAAACCUGAAAGUUCAAGAAAAUACAAAACAUUUUUUCUCAAUUUUUUUUUUUAAUCAAAGAAAAAAUAAUCUCAGGGAACUGAAUUGUUGUCUAUAUCAACAAAGAACUGUACAUGUUAAUCUGUUUUCGAAUUUCUAUGAAUAUAAACAGUUUCUGGGAAAUCCUAAAUUCCUUCCAUUAGUUGGAUUAGAAUUCGAUGUCUGAUCAAACAUAACAAAUAACUAUAACUGUUUUACAAAAUAUUUCUUAAUGGCUCUAACAUCAUGACAACUAUCAAAAUACAAACAGCUAAGUAAUUUGUAAAAUGAUAACAACAUUAACAAUGUAACUUAUAUUGAUUAAGAAAAUACGUCUUCAGCAACGUCUUGAUUUACAAGUUUUAAUAAAAUUAGAAUUUGUUUUCACACAUCAGACUAAAAUAUCCUCGUGUAAAUCUUACUAUGUAGAAGCUAAUUCUCAUUUAUUUCGCGUUUGAAAGUGCGCAAUUACAUUGCUUACUGUUUCAAAACAUAGACCGAUGUUACAAGAAACACUUCUGUGUACAAGUUAUAAAAUUACAUGCAAUUACAUGUACAUAAAAAGUUACUUUUCUAAUGUGCUAUUAAUAUUUAAAUGCAUUGUCACAUUAGGUCAUUAGAUUUAAGGGCAUACGAUACAGUUACAGGGGAGGUAAUGACGUUGCUAACGUAAAAUGUUAUUUUCGCGAUGUCAAACUGUGACAUAUCGGGAAAAGAUGCAUUUUUCGACUGAUUUUUAUCAUUUAAACUGAUUUAAUUUGAAAACGAGUUCAUGGACCCCUAUUUUUCAAAACAGCAAUUUGUUUCUUUUUGCAGGGAGAUUAUGUGACCCAAAUUUUAUAAAACUGUAGAUAGAGGUUUUUUUUAAUUUUGAUAAACAUGCAGCAAAAAAUGAUGUAUUUUCCUCAAUUCAUGAACAUUUGAUAAAUAUGAGUUAUUUCUGAAUUUAAAAUGCAUAGUUUUUUAGGAUAGUUAUAAAAUACAGAAAUUACCGAUUAUUUAACAAAAAACAAUUUGUGUUUAUCUUUUAUAUCAAAAAAGUUAUGUCUUUCUUUCGAAAAAGAAAUUACGACCACAAAUCUGAAUUUUGAGCAAAUAUACAAAAUUUCGACCUCAUUUUACUCAAAAAGUAGCACAUGCAGGUAUAUUUUUUAUUACAUACAUAUGUAUUUGAAUUAAUCAGGUAAAAAAUAGCCUAUAGGCAAAUUUUCACGAACUUGUAAAUACAGGAUCAAAACUGUAUCGUAUGCCCUUAACGUAACACUGAUGUUGCAGUGUCCUCGUUCAAAGUAAAGUUAGACGAUUUCUGCUAGUAGUUUUAAUUCCAAUGCUAAAACAUAAGCAUAUGAAAGCCAGAGAAAGAAGAAUAUGUAGCACCUUAUAUCUAUAGGACAUAAGUCAAAAUUAUGUAGCACCUUAUAUCUCUAGGACAUAAGUCAUCUAGCUCAGCUUUCCUCAAGUAUAAUUUACUGAGGAUUCAUUUAUUUUCGUGGGUACCAAUUUUCGUGGUUUGAGGAAAACUUGCAUAUUUGUGGAUAUUUGAUUUCGUGGUUUUGGCGCAAAGACUGCAUUCAUUCCUUUAGACAAAUUGUAAUUCUUGGAACAUUUGUAUUCGUGGUUCUCCUGUAUCCACGUAAUCAACGAAAAUUGGUAUCCAACGGAUAUAAAUGAAUCGACAGUAUACCAUAAAACAAAGUAGAUGUUAUGAAAGUUUCAAUAUGUUUAAGCCGUUAUUUAAUAUACAAGUAUGUAUAAUCUUUCACUGGCGAUUGAAGUUUUAGGUAUAAAGACAGCUAUUUUUUUUUUUUUUUUUUGACUUUUGACUUUUGAGCUUCAAUGAUAGUUGACCAGCCAUGCAGUACGGCUCCGUGUUCUAAUCCAGACAGUAUCUUUUUGGAAAGAUUAAAUUUGUCAUGCGAUUCAGUUGACCACCAAUUAGUCAAGUACAUAUGUACCGGGUCUUUUCAAUAUUCCCAGUCUUGAAAUAUUUCGAAUAUUUCGUAUUAAUUUAUUUUUUUUUUUCAUUUUCAGGAAAUGCAUCAAUGUUUAUGGAGGUGUAUAUAUUUAAUUAUAGUUCUACAAUUAAUUGAACAUUUACGUGCCGACCAAAGAGAAGAGGAUGCUAGAAGGUAUGCACGUUGGAUUAUUAUAAUACAAUGAGUCUGUCAAUUAUUUUAAAAGUGCGCAAUUACAUCGAUUACUGUUUCAAAACAUAGACUGAUGUAACAAGUAACACUUAAUUGUAUAAGUUAUAAAAUUACACGCAAUUACACGUACACAAAAAGUUACUCUUCUAAUGUGCUAUUAAUAUUUAAGUGCAUUGUCAAAUUAGGUCAUUAGAUUUAACAUAUAUUAAAGCUGAAACACAUUUUUUGCCCCUCUUUUAUAAAAAUAAUUGCAGGGCAAUUUUUACAUUUUUUAUUUUGGUUUCUAACACAGACUCUUAAGUUAUAAUUUUGACAAUUCAAAAGCUUACCAAAUAGCAUUCUUGCAUUUGAGUUCUGGUUGUUUGAAUGAAACACACAUAACUAAAAGAAGAUAAACUAAUAUAUUUCCUGCAAUGCAUUAAAACCUUCAACAUCUGUGAUUGGGAAAAGUGAAAUUACCAUAAUACCGGAUUCCGAGGAAACGCGGUAAGUCCGUAUUAAAAUGACAAAAUUAAAAGCUCAAACAUAUAAAACGAAUGGAUUACAACUGUCAUAUUCCUAACUUGGUACAGGCAUUAAUCUUUUUUAAUAUGUAGAAAAUGUUGAAUUCAGUCUAGUUUAAUAUGUCUCCCUAAUAACAUUCGUGUAAGUUUUGGCAAUACAGUUUAUUGACAGGUUGUAGGAAUCCCUAUGAGCACCAAUUGCACCCUUUUAUAAAAUACAAUUUGGCCCUAUAAAUAUGGUUAUUAAUCAGGGAUUAUGAAUCCGUUUAAAUCUUAUUUAAUUUAUAUGUUUGAUAGCACUAACAUUUUUUUUCUUGACAUGUUCAACCCCAACCCCAUUCAAUAUUUGCAUGUCCCAAAUCAAGUCUGUCAUUCAGUUCUGCCUGUUAAUUUGUUUAUGCUUGUUUUUUGUUUUGUCAAAAAUUAAAACAUUGCAUUUUUUCUCAUUUGAAUUGAUUCACGUUUUGUGAUGUUAAUUCCGUUAGAUGCUUUAUGAUCAGUUUUUUUACUCUCAUAGUUGAAUCCAUACGAUGGCCUAACAUGGCUUAAAUUCACACGUAGUUCUAAUAUUCGUCUCACUGGCAAUCAGUCCCCACCAUCUUUAAGUUAUUUAUAUUUAUUGACAUAAAUAAAGACUAACAGUAGUAUACCGCUGUUCGAAAUUCGUCAAUCGAUUGUGAAAAAAAAUCCGGGUUACAAACUAAAACUGAGGAAAACACAUCAAAUAUACAUCGAUACGAUUUACUGAUAAUGAUAUCAGAUACUUUUGUAUCUAUUACAACUAAAAACCAAUAGCUUUUUAAACUUAUAGAGUUUUACGUAAAUGAAAUGCCAUUAGAAAAUGUAGAAUAAUAACGUUCAAAAAUAUUAUAAACACUAACUGAACUAAAACUAAACGGUACUAUAAUCAUAAUAACUUAGUCGUGACUUAUAGAUAUAGAUAUAUAUGUUGUGAUCUUACACUCGUAUUUCAGAUAAGAGCGAAAGUUGGUACAUAUUAAAACGUUUAAUCCUGUUGCAUUUGUUUGCAACUGUCCUAAGUCAGGAAUGUGAUGUUAAGCUAUUGUCGUUUGGUGAUAAAUUUUUCUCGUUAUCGUUAUUUUUUUAGAUUACGAUGCUGGUUUUUAGGGUUUGAAUGGUUUUACACUAGUCAUUUUUGUGGCCCCUUAAAGCUUGUUGUUCUGUGUGAGCCAAGGCUUCGUGUUGAAGACCGUACAAAUUGUGACUUAGAUGAAGAGUUGUCUCAUUGGCACUCAUACAACAUCUUCUUAUAUUUAUAAAAAUCGAAAUGCAAUCAAACAUUGUUAUACUAAAUUCUUGACACAUAUUCUCUGCAAAAUUACUCAAAAACGAUGUCACCUCAUGUUAGAUUAAAAUAUAUUUACUUUAUUUUGGUAAACUUAAUUUGUCUUUUUGAAACAUUUAUUUUUGAUUUUCCCCAUGGUGAUGUAAAAGUUGGUAAACUUGUAUGUCCAUAUGUCCUUCAUCUAUUCGUUUGAUGUGUUUGAGCUUUUUAUUUUGCCUUUUGCUUAGGGAUUUUCCGUUUAGAAUUUUCCUUUGAGUUCGAUAUUUUUGUAAUUUUUUUUUCACAAUUUUCUAACAACUAAAAAUCGAUUUACAAUAACUGUUAGUUUCAAUUAGAACAUGAUGCACAUAGUUAUAUGUCCUAUUGCUCAAUCAGAUUAAGUUCAACAUAAAGGAAUGCACAUUUCUUACAUUAAACAUAUAUUAUUCUAGUCUAGUCGUUUCUUGUACGUAUAUUUCAAUAUUUAAUAUGCGUAGAGUUAAUGGUUCCUUUGCAAUCAAAUCAAACAACUUAUAAUUACUCAUUCAAAUUCAGCAUUUUUAAUAAUCUGAUGAAAUUGUAACAUCAACUAUUUGAUUUACAUCAUUUAUUCAAAUGGGGUUUAAAUGAUGAAAAUGUAAAAUGUUUUUAACUUGAUAUUUAGGGAUUUUGCAUAUACAUCAUUGCAUUGUUGGCAUACGACUGCUAACUUUAUUCAGCAUUUAUUGCAUGGAGAUAUUAUUGUUCAUGCUAUCACAAUUAAAUUAGUGUCGAUAAUAUUUCAUAUAAAGAGUUCAAUUCCAGGACGAAAACUCUUUCCGUAUUGAAUGGAAUUUUACACUUUAUUUCCAACUUCCGGUGCUAAUCAGCAGAUACAGACAUCUUAAUUGACAUCAAAACGAAUAAUAUUUAAUUCCAAUUAUUCACACAUUUUGAACGUGAUGAUCGAUCUAAUCUGCAACGAAUAAUUUCAUUGUUUCAUGACAAAUUCUCACAAACCCAUCAGGAUUCAAGGAAAGGGCGAAAAUUCCAGGAAGAGUUUAUAGUACUUAACUGGAAUUGCAUGCUUAUUUAAGAACGCGUGUUUCUGAUAUGUCUUGACUAAAAUUGUAUAUUUAUUUGAAAAGGCGUGUCUUUAUACUUAUAUGAAUGUAGACAAAUAUUCCCUUAUGUUUUUUUUUUUGUCGAACAUUAUGUAAUUAAGGUAUUUCAAAAAGCGAUUAAAUUUUUCUGCGACAACAUGUAAAACGCUGCAUUUUUUAUUACCAAUUCCUGAAAUUAUUAAAAGGUUUCUGUAAAUUCGGUACAUUUAUACUGUAACCGAAACAAGGGGUAAUAAACAGCAAUAGAAUAGAUGCAGCACGAAAGACGCUAAUAUAAGACUCUGCUGUUCACGAAAUUUUAUUCACAGCCCAAUUCCAAUAUCCAUUUCGAUUUGUUUGUAUGUAUAUUCGUCCGUCAGUUCGUCGGUACGUAGCUUUAUCUUUAUCUUACUUCGCUUUCGUAUUAAGAAAUGAAUUCAAAUUCAGUCUGAACUUUAUAAUGUUCAGUUGUAUCAUGUAAACAAUUUUCAAAUUGUUUUGAAACUAUUUAAAAUGUCAAAGGACAAGAUUCACUUAUGGCACAAUAUGGCCUAAAAUAUCAACUUUAUCAUAAAACCCCAAAAAGGUCACAAUUUGAUUCGUAAAUGGGUCUAUUUCAAAAGACCUAAUGCUAAUUAAAUCAGUUUUUUUCAUAAAAGUACAUAAUAUUCUCCAAAGUAGGCCCAUUUUUGGACAUUUUGUCAAAAUGUGGUAAAUUUGUUCAAUUUUUACACCUAAAAGCUUAAGAAAAACAUUGGCCGCCACCUACGAUCCAAAAUGUUUUGAAGCCAAAAGAUUCAAAUUUUGAUAUAAAAUUCAUCAAUAUAAAGACUUUUUGGAUCGUGGAUGGAGGCCAAUGUUAAUUAUUCCAAAAACAAUUAAAAUUGUGGAAAAAUUUGACCAAAAUUGACCAAAAAUACAAAUAAUGUAUAUUUCAGGGGCCAUAGCUUCAUAAAUUUAAAAGGAAGGUGCCAAUAAAAUAUAUUUUUAUAUUGAUAGUAUUGUAACAAGUAUUUCUAUGCAAAAUUUGUAAUUUAUUUGCCCGAUUUUAAAAACGUCAAAAAUUUAAGGUCAAUUUUAACCCUUCGUGAACCUUCUUAAAUAUUAACCAUGGGGAUUCUAUUCAGGACUACGAGUCUAACGUCAAUGGAAAUGUAAACGUGUAGCACAUAGGUUAAUGGUCAGAAUCAUUCAUCAUGUUUGUGACAAUCUCAAAUAUUUUUGACUUAAUCUUUUUGAAUUCACACCAUGACUUAACUAAAGAAUGUAUAUUCAUGCUGCAUAGCUAUGUUUCAUUGUUGAAAGUUGAAUAAAUGUUUGGUCAAAACUUUUAUGGAAAGAAACCACAUUAAGAUUCCAAACAUUUUUUCAAAUUAAUUUUUUAUGUAUCUAUAACGGAUUUGAAGUUUCUAAAUUCAAUUAUAGACAGGAAUAUUUGCUUUUGAUUACACUACACUCGGACAAUCAGUGUGGACUCAAAUAUUAAAUAUUGCAUCAGACGCAUCCCUUAUUUCAAGUUCGAUGUUAUAAAUGCGUUCAACAUAAAGUAACCAAAAUGCUAUCAAUAGGAUAGCAGUUGUUUAGAAAAACCAAAAGCUAAAGGACAUAGUUAGAACUUUUCUUUGAUCUUCAAAAGCUCCUGUGCGGAGUCUAAUUGAAAUGAAUAGAGAAACAAGUCGACAAGGAGAGAAACACAGCUGCUUCAUAUUGGUGUUUCGAUUGUCUACUGAAAAACUCGUCCUCUGACGAGAAAAGAUGUUGUUAAUGAACGAUAUUUUAAUUUCACAACUCUUUUGAAUCCCGGUUGUGCUUGACAAUAAAAUAGUUAAUUUGGAAAGAGUUUUAUUUUGAGCAUUCACAGGCUCAGAAAUAUGGUGUUGUUAGGAAGGACGUUUAUGUAAUUCGGGUAUCCAUCCCAAAAGAUUCAGUUUUCAUCUUCGGUAGAAAUCCCUAAGGGACGUAGAACAUUAUUUCCUGAUUUUCUCAUUUUUAAGUGUCGUCUGAGCGUAUUUUGGGUUUCCAAGUGAAUUGUGAAUAUCUAAUACCUUUAUCAAGCACCUUUUUAUGAUCAAUGUAAGUAACAAACAAACAAAAGACGACAUUGUUUUAGGAUUUACUUGUUUGGACAAAAAAAAAUUUGUCAAGCGGGUAGGAUAUAUAUGUGUUAAUAUUAAAGACAAGCAAACAUACCGAACUCCAUGGAAAAUUCAAAACGGAAAGUCCUUGGUCAACUGGCAACAUCAAAAGCUCCAAUCAUUAAUGGAAAACAACUGUCAUAUUCUUGAAUUGGUAAAUGCACUUUUUUAUGUAGAAAAUGUUUAUUAACCCUUGCUGUAUAGCUAUAUAAACCUCUCACUUGUUUGAUAGUUGAUAUUAUUUCUUGCCUUCAUCAUUUUUUUUAUGAACUUGACCAACUGAAUAGAAAAAAAUACAGAUAUCUUAGGAUCUUGAGGUUAUUACAUUAUUCAAAUUUCUUUUUGAUGAGAAUUAACCGGCCUAUAUUUUUUUAUUGGGUAAUUACAAUUUCGGAAAUUGCCAUUUAUUGUACCGUAUCUUAAAGAUAUUUUAGAACUUCUUUUAUAUCUGACGUUAUUAUAAUGAGUAUUGCUUCUCUUUCUCUCUGCGUAUAUUUUGUUAUUUUGCAUAUGUUUGUUGCUCAUAGACUAUAGGUUUAUAUAUCCAUCCUUUUUUUUUACGUCGGGGUAAUUAUUAUAGAUAAUCAGUGUAUAAAUUCAAAUUGAAGAAUGGACACCAAGAUCCCAAUAAAGACUCACAGGUGGUUGUUAAAGCAAAUACCGUUUUUCUAAAUCUAUAUAGCCCAAUUAAUUGAACAAAUGACAAUACAGUGACAAACAAUAGCUUAUUAUAAUUCCUUACAAUCUGUAGGAAAACCUUAAAGUAAGUGCUGUUUGUCGUCAAUACCCCAGUUGAAGGCAACAAUAUUGUCUACCCUUUAAUUACGUUCCCAUUACUUCUGUCUUAGACCUAAUACAUCUGCUGCAUUGAAACUGUAUUUAAAGGGUUGCCAAUGUAACGAAAAUCCGGACUACUCCAAAAGAAAACUACAAAUUUGACUGUCAAAUACUCAAAUUGACCGUGACAAUUGUUCAAUAACACAUUUAGGAUAGCAGCUAUUGCACGAAUAUAGAAGACGGUGACCAUGGCAAAUAUAAGUUCUAGAAUUCGGUCAUGAUCCUGAUGUUAUAUCUAGCUUAUUUAGGCAUUAAUAAAACAUCUCAUCAAACUAUUUCGAAUAUUAAAUGAUUAUAUAGAUCUAAGAAAAUUUGGUAUGAGUGCCAAUAAAACAACUAUCCAUCCAAGUCACAAUUUAUAAAAGUAAAAUAUUAUAGGUCUAAGUACGGUUUUCAACACGGAUCUUUGGCUCAUACCGAACAGCAAGUUAAAAAGGGCCCAAAAACGAAUGUUUACUAUGUACUUCAUAUCAGGAAAAACAAUUGGUACAUGUGAAAAUAAAACAAAAUAACGAUUUCAGUAAUGUUGAUUUUUUACAGUAAAAAUCAUUUUUUCUUGUCUGUUGACAUGCAUUCUCUUUGAAAACUAGUGUUUACCAGGUAGUAUGAAAUAAAAUGCUUUAAUGGUUUUCGUGCAAGCGGAUAUUUGGCUUUCAACCGCACUGUGUUGAUGAAAGAAGUUUUUAUCUCCUUUUUGUAAUAAAAUGUGUUUGCACAAUCCUGUUUGUAAAUGUCUAUUUGACAAAUGAACAUGCAAAUGUGAUGGAUUAAUAAUAAAUCUAUUAACAACAAAUGAUCAGCAAUUAACGUUAUUAAUAAUAUUAAAACAGUUUAAUAACAAAGGAUCGUUGACAAAAUUUUAAUUUGAUAGAGAUAAAAUAUCUGUAUUACGCCAUCUUGGGUUGCAAAUUAUUGGUACAGAUUUACACGGAAAUUAUCUGGAAAAAAUUAUUCAUUGAAUGCAAUUCAUUUGUCACAUUGUGCUGUUCUUUUAAAUUGUAUGGCAUUUACAAAAAAAUAAACUUUACUUUUCUUGAAAUCGUUAAUAGCAACAAUAACAAACAAAAAAAAAACGCAUACGGUGACCUUAGUUUGCCAUUGUCUUUUUAAAGUGUUUUAUCAUCUUCAUAUACUUUAUUUGAAAAUUUUGUUUUAUCUUUAUUCACAUAUACUUGCUUUUCAUUGUAUUUGGUAUUCAUAAAGAUGAUGCUUUUCACAGGUUGAAGUUUUAAACUUUUGUCGAACGCAAUUUAAUAAGUGUUAUGUUUUAUUCCUAUUUACUAUACUACUGGACCAAUACGUUUGUUAUUUCUUGUUGGUAUCAUCAACUCAGUUGUCAAUUACAUCCGCUCAUACAAAUUUUGAGUACAAUUAUCAAGACAAAUAAAUCAACAAAUCAAAUCUUGAUUUUGGUUAUGAGAAAAUAUGAACUCUGAGUUAUUAGUAAAGUUUCAUGACCGAAAUAUGACAUUUGUUUUCUAUUCUUUAGAUUUAUUUGAGCUUUUGGUUUUGUCAGUUAUUAAAGUACUCUCCGUUUUGCAUUACCCUUAUAGUUCGGUAUAUUUGUUAUCUUUCUCUUCACAAUACUUUUCUAAAAUUUGACGUUGAAAAACAAAAAAUAAUUAAAGAAAAUUAACCUUUAAGUUAGACGAACUUUCCUAUUCUAUUGAUGUCCAUUUUGAUCAUAUAGGUCCUAACAUUGCUACGUUUUUAUACCAUCUGGAUUUCAAAUGUUAAGGUUUGCAUUUCCAGAAAGUAAAUCCAGAAAACCUCUUUAAAACAGAUUAAGUGUAAUGAACACAGUACGUAAAUGGGAGCUAAAUCAAUUAACAACCUUUUUCAACUGAGCAUACUCUUCUUACAAAUUAUUUGAUUACACGUCAUAUUGAACAUAUAAAGGUAAUUGUAUGUGUAGCACUAUAUCUUUUUAAGUAUUCCAAGUUUAAUUAAACAGCGUGAAAACAAGAGUUUCCUAUUUUCCCAAUAGGAAUAAUCAUCCCUCAAUAUAAUUAUCGCUCUAUGUUAAAUAUUUAGUAUUGUAUUUUGAAAAUCAUAUAAUUUAUGACGAAAACAUUAAAUAAAAAAGUCAGAUAUUCAUUUAAAGUACAGAUACACAUUAAAUUAUAUUAAAUAUGAUAUUUAUGCAUUUCAAUAAGAUAUACAUGUCUGAGAUAAUGCGCAAAACUUAAUUGGUGAAACAAGUUUACGCAACAAAUUGACAGGCUGAAUUGAAAUAUUUGUCAACUGUUGACAUGGGUUGAAGACUCCUUGCGAUAUUGCCUUUUACGCUUAUGUGGCGUAAAGCAAACAUAACUCAAUCAAUCAUAAGUUGAAGUCGUAAAAUUGAGAAUGGAAAUGGGAAAUGUGUCAACGAGACAACUACCCGACCAAAGUGCAGACAACAGUCGAAGGCCACCAAUGGAUGUCUUCAAUGCAGCGAUAAAAUGCCGCUCCCAGAAGCAUGGUUCAGCGGGCCCCUAAACAAAAAUGUAUACUAGUUACUAACUCCGAAAUAUAUAAAAGAAACAAAAAUACAAAAAAAAUAUACAAGACUAAUAAAGACCACAGGUUUUUGACUUGAUGUAUAAAUUAUUCGAAAAGUAUGAAUAUUCGAAAUACUAAGGAUGUUCUUAUUAAGGUCAUAGAUUAGCUAAGCUGUAUUUGGCAACACUUUUGAAGAAAUUCGGGUCCUCAGUAUUCUUCAAUUUGUACUUGUUUUGGCAUUCAAACUAUUUUGAUGUGAAUGCCACUGAUGAGUUUAAUGUAAAAACGCGCGUGUGGCGUAUCAAACUAUAAGCCUGGUACCUUUAAUUAAUAUUCACAUCACAUUAAUGAGGGGAGAUAAUCACUAUGAGUGUCCUCUUCAAAGUUGUGCUAUAAGAUCCACCGCCGUCCAAUAUACAAGAUUGAUUAUAAUUACCAUAAUGACAAUCAAUGUCAAAGAUUCUAAACAUAUUUAACAAAUUUCGACUGCAAUCUCGCAUCAAAUGCUGGUUUUGGAAUUGACUUAUCUUAGCAUCAAAUAUUACCGACAUUGUGAAGAUAUAUUUUACAUGCCGGAAAAUAAUAAACUGAUAAAAUGCAAAACGUCCUUUUAAAGAAACAUAGAUAUGUCAGACAGGAGAAUUUAAGAAUGAUUUUUUUCUCAGCUUUUCGUCUAAGCACACCUUCGACACUUUUUCAACUGAGAUACCUGACCAUGAAACAGUUUUGCUUGAAUAUGAAAAAAUAAAGUUGUAAUUUGUAAUGAUACAAUGCAGUAAACUUUAGUUGUCACUAAAUUCGUCUGAAGGUUGUCCCAUUUUUUUCUGUGUAGUGUGUUUGGGUAAAACCGAAAUUACAUGCUGACGAUUACAAAGCUCCUACGUAUCUUUGUGGCCGGAAAAGAUUUCAUUUCGUACAUGUUUUAAUGGCUAUUGCUGUUUCAUGUUAUUUCUAUAAUGCAUCACGUAUUAAAAUGGAUGAAAUCGGAUGUGUGAUAAGUCAGUGAUAAAAAUAAGUUCACAUAAGUAAAUUGAAAAUCUAGACAAUUGAGAUGAGCUAAAUAUAUUUACGUAACUACCACUUUUAUAUAACGUGAUGUUAACAUUUUACAGAAUUUGUUCUCUUAAAUUAACACUUAACUAAUAUAAUUUAAGGUGUAACAUUGGCUCUUACACAGGAUCAAAGACAAAAUACUGUAAAACAUUUAUAAAAUAUAUCCUCUAACACAGAUACAUCAGUACAUUUUAAUCUAAGAAAGGGAUUACAUGUACUUUUGGUCUUCAUCUGUAUAUUUAUUAACAUCAGUAAAGUGAAUAGUUUGCAGCACAAUUAAGACUUGUGUGAAAAUUUACUGGUAUCUAUUUAAAUCAGAGCACAUUUAACACUAAUGCCUCUGUAAAUACAAACAAUGGCCACAUUCGUGUUCCUUCGUUACACGUUUUGAAAGUUUUUGCUUAAGGUUGUGUCGGCCGAACACAUGACGUGUCAAAAUAUUUUGAUUUAUAUACUUCCAUUUUUAGCUUCUUUCGUGAACAUAAUUUGCUCAAGUAAUUGAAAUCCUUGUCUCUUAUUCAGGUUGAUGGAGUCACUAAACCAAGCACAAAACGAUAUUUCUUCUAUGAUGUCAACAGUGGACGGUCUAGAUAAUUAUUUGACCACACAAAAGUAAGAAUAUUUAGAAUUUUGCAUUAUAUAUAAAAAUUCCUGUUUGUUUUAGCACCACUGUGAAGUUCCGUUGAUAAUCUGCUCUGAUUCACGUUCUCUCUUUUCUCAGAGGCAAUUCCUAUCUCCCCCUUUUGCAACUGUACCUACUUCUUUACACCGAUUAUUGGUCCUUAAAGAGGAUUCAAUGUAUUGUUUUAUUUGGUUUCUUCCUGGAGAUGCAUUCACAAUAUUCAACUUGACGCUGUCAGGUAACAAUUCAUAUUUUUAUACAGUUUUGUUAAUCUCUGAACUUGUUCGUAUUUCUUGUUUUUUUAGUAUUUGAAAAGUAAAACAAAUUUCAUAAAACUUCAAUAUUGAUUUGAAUUUUUAUUCCAAACAAAUAGUUUCAAUGACAACGGUGAAUCUAGUUUGUUUGGGAAUCCAAAGUUCUUUUUAACAUGCAUCCAAAAUUUAAAUUAUUUCAUUAUUAAUAGGGUGUAAUAGGGUUUGAAAUUAAUAUUCUUUAUUUUAGAUCUGAUUUUUUUUAUGUUUUUGCAACAAUGGUUAAAUUGAAAUUUAUACAUUUGUUAAUGUGAAGGUUGUUAGAAUUUAAUGAUCGCAAGAAAUUAACGCAUCAGAUUAUUUAUUCCAGAUGAUUUUAUAGAAAUCUCAUUAUUUUUAGUAUUUGUUCAAUUUCAUAUGGAAUCACUUCACAUCUUCUCUAUAUCGAACACUAUAUAUAGUCAGUGAUAAUGCAUUUUAAAAAACUUUUAAACUGCAAUAUUCCUUUAUUUUAAAAGAUCUAUGUUAGAAAAUGUGUAGUAGCAUUUGUUCAUGUCUUUUUUAUAAAUAAAAUCCUCUAACAUCUAUAAUAACAAAAGAAUUUUCAUUUGUUUCAUCAAAGAUUUUUUUUGAUUUUUUCCCGUCUUUUGUUAUCCUUGGAAUUAGCUGAACAUAAAGAGGACCGACAGCCUUCAAACGAUUCCCACGACAAUUGCUAUAUAUCUAACGUCAAAAAUCGUUAAUUAAUCUAAAAUAGAUAAUUUUUCUAUUCAUAUAUUUUAUUGCAUAUUAAGUAAUGAUAAAAUCAGAUAAUACUUCGACUGACUUGUAAGAACAUAGCAUUGAUGUCCAAUACUGUUAGAGACAAAAGCUAUAAAACUCAAACUUAGUCUCAAAUGAGAUUGAUAAGUUUGAUGUUGUGGAAGACAUUUGUAAUUAUUUUAUUUGUUCUUAUGUGAAUGCUAAUAUUUUUAGAUAAAUUCAAUUAUUAUAGCUACUGAUAUCCUUAUUAUUAAAUUGUAGUAAAGAUAGGAUUCUUUGUCCUUCGCAACAAUUAUUUUGACAUUUUGUACUUGACAUAAAACUGCAAAACUUAAAUCACAGGUUUUCAAUUAAUUAUAGAUUUUUCAGCUAUGAAUGAUUGAAAUGCACUUAGAUAUAUUGAAAUCUUUUCGAAUGACCGAUCAACAUUGUGUAAAUCUACACACUGUCCGGUGCAAUUAUUUUUACACUUCUAAAACACCCCCCUAUGGCCUUACUGAAGAUUGUAAUGCAAUAAAAUCAGCAUUAAUUUGACAGUAAUGAUUUUAUCUUUCACUAAUUUUGGAUUUAUUUUCUCUAAACCUAUUUUCAUCAUUUAUCAUUUAUGGUUUAUGUAACUAUAUCUUGGAAUUAUUUAUCCUAUCUUCUUCUAACUUGAAGUAUUAACGUCAAACUAUACCAAUAAUGCAACAAGAGCUGCAUGAAAUAAAGAAAAACACCCAUAUGAAUUUAUGCACUAACUUUUAAAUAAAAAUAAUAAACUUGAUGUUCAAAUUUAGAUAUUUUUUCUUUUUCAGAAAACGGGCAUGCAAUCUUGGAUUAAAUAGUCACCAUUGUGCCUUGGCAGACCUGGACAAUCAACUCCAGUCACGUGAAUGGUUAUCAAACGGACAUAGCCCUGGUAAACGGACCACGUUAAAAGAGGAACACAAAGAAAAACUAUCGGAGGUUGAAAUAAAAAGGUAACCACUGAGAUUUUUAACUCAUUUUAAUAUAUGUCCUAAUACAGAUAUAACUUUAAUCACUAUGAAUUGUAGUGGUAUGCAAAUUUUGAUUCAAAUUUUAACACAUUUUUUGUUUAAUGUCCUGUACCAAGUCAGUAAUAUGUCAGUUAUUAUUUAAUUGUUCGUUUCAGUAUAUGUUGCAAUGCUGUUUGUACUUAGUUGGAGUUCAGUGGUUCGUUGUUUUCUUCUUACAGCUGAUGUGAUUUCCCCAGUUUUAGUUUGUAAGUUGGAUUUGUUUCUCUCAAUUGAUUGAUGACUUUUCUGUAGCUGUAUUCUGCUGUGGCCUUUAUUUACCUUUUUUGAAUUUUUUAAUCGAAGACUUUUUAUUUACAACGAUGAAAUAAAUUGUUUUUUAAAUGUCAAAACAUACAACUUUGCUUCUGAUAAUGUUUUGGUUAAACUUUCUAAUCUUUUUACUUUUUUUUUUAUAGAAUACUUGAAUUUGACUAUAAAAAUUGCAGGUUCGAGGGGUCUUCAAGAAAUCAAUAUUUGAUUAAUUUUAAUUAUUAAAAAUUUUCAAGUACCAUCGCAAUUUUAGGAAUGACAAAUCAGUCUACCUUUGGAAAUUACAAAUAAAAGAAUGUAUUUGGCAAUUAAAAAACAAAUGUAAAAUUCCUGAUACAGGAUUCAAUGGAUUAAAGCGUACUUGAUGACAGCAAAUAAAAAUUGAUGCGUUGACACAGAUAAAAUUUUCAGUGUGUCUGACGUCAGAAAAUUUUAUAGUAAAUUGUCUGGAAGCACUAAUAUAGUCAUAUUUAAACCAUAUGUUUCUGAACGUUUGAGUACUUUCGCUUAUAUUGUCAUUAUUAUAGGAAAGAAGAUUAUCCUUAUCGGUACACAAUUUUGAUCUGUAACUUCUGUAAAGUUCAAUAUAGAAGAUUGCACUGUUUGUGUUGAAAUAUUAACAGUGAAGAUUAAAACAGAAAAUAAGGAAGUCCACAAAGAAGGAAUCUCAUGACUAAGAAAUGAAAUAAUGGUAUUAAGAAGUCCCUUCACUGCAUACAGACUUUGUCUGGAUAUUAAAAUUAAAGUCAUGUACAUAGGUCUUCUCCAGGAAUACAAAAAAGGGGUUAUUAUAACAGUAGGUCGACGAAAAUAUACAUAAAAUCUAUGAAAGAUAACACGUGUACAUAAAAAGUUGAGUCUUGUAUCUUGAUUUACGAUACUCCCAUGUCAUAGAUGACAAAUUGUAUCAAUGUAGUUUAUAUUGCAAUACAAAAAAUCAUGGACAUCUUUUUUUACUGUAAAAACUUGAACAUAGAAAUAUGAAUAAAGUAUGAAUUGAAGUUUUGUUAAACAUUCCCUUAAAAUAACCAAUUAGUCUUUCCCAUUUUCUAACAUAACAUUGUGGAUCAUUACGUUUGCGAACGGAAGUCAAUUUUCCAGACUUAUAUUUACUCCGCCGUUGAGGCAAUAUGUUUUUAUAGAUUGUCUGAGUUUAUUAUCGGAUUUUUAUGUAUUAAACACACGCUCUGAAAUCCCAAACCGACUGAUACAUGCAUAAGAAGAGAUUAAUCCAAUAAAAGCUCAUAUCCUGUCUUUUGCAACUAUUUUAAAGCACUCCACCCCAACCCAAACUGUCUAAACGAACUUCAACCUAAGCAAUUUGAUAUCCCCUCUGAUAACUUUAUUUGUACCGUUUAUAUUUUGCGGUUGAAAAGAGUAACCUACUGAUCUGCAACUAUUUUCCUAUAAUAGCUUCUCCUCAAUGUUCAUUAUGAUCCAAUAAAGAGUCUCUUGAGACUAAUUAGUAGCAUUUACAGUAAGAUAGACAUCUAAUGAACAAGAUCCAUUGCCAUUUAUGUUGAUUUAAUUUGUGUAAAUUGUUUUAUGAGUUCCCAAAUAUUUACUUGUGAUAAGUCGAUAACUCUCGAUCACUGAAUGCAAACAAGUAAUUUCCUCGUUACACAGAACAUGACAAAUGGGCCCCUUAUAUCAUCUCCCGUACAAAGACAAUGAUGCUUAAUCAAAUAAAUCCUUAUGUCAAAUCAAAUAAACUAAAAUGUUUUCGCGAAAAAAAAAAUUUGCAGAUACAUAAUUAGUAAUAUGUAUUUGGGUAAUAAUGAAGGGAAAUUAUUUCUGCGGUAAUGACAGCGCUAUAUAUCUUAUGAAUGAACACUUUUGGUAAGUGAACAUAGUAUUAAAUCAUUAUUAAAAGCAUUUUGAUUGAAUUGUUUGUUAUAUUUUCAUAAAUCUUUUAAGUUGGUAAUUUACUGGCACUUACAGCCGAUGUUUAAAAUGAGUUUCAGUACCUUAUUUCAUAGUUAAAGUGGUUAAUAAUAUAACUGCUCUGUGUUAUAUUCUUAAACUAAAUUAUUUACAAUACAAUUUAUGUUGUCACACAUACUGACAGUGAAAUGGUUACACAUUUUGCUAUUAUUCAAUUGACCGAUAAAGGCAUCGUAAGAAAAUAUUUUCGGUUUUACUUAUAAUUUCCUGUACGCAUUGAACGUCUGAAAAGUGUAUGCAUAAUUUAUCUUCACCUUAUAAUUAGAUAUUCAUUUAACUUCCAUCAACAAUCCAUGAAAAAUAUUAGCACUAAAGACGUUCCUACCUUUGAUUUGUAUUUUUCUGACAUAUAGUUUCAUUUAAUAUGAUUUUCAAUCGACUAUAAGAAUCAAAGACUUUUUAAAAUAAAUAUCCGACAGAUGGUUCGUUUCUCAAAGUUUUUUUUUCUGUUUCGUUGACUUCUUUGAGAGUACUAAAUACUGCCGAAUCAGCCAGUCAGAUUAUUGUGUAGUCUGAAAUGAGAUAUCAUCACCUAUAACGUUUUAUCGAAGCUAUCAAUAACCGACAAUCUAUCACAGUAAAAUACAUUACAUGUUGACCAUAUUUAUCGAAUUAAAACAAGUUAAGUAGUCUGGUCAAUCUAAAUAUCAUACAAUUUUCUUCUACAGGUUAAUAGAAGAUAUAGUGAGAAAGCGCCUUGACCUAAAGAACAUUCGCACAUUGUUAGAAGAUGCAAAUGGUAGCAUUAUAGAAAAUAGGUAAAUAUAUACAAUUUCUCAGGUAAACAGAAACAUUUUCGUACAUUGUCAUAUUCCCAAUUCUACAUAAAUCGUUUCUAUACCAUAAAAACUAUUGUCUUAUUUUAGUUUAAUACUGGUACAAAUCUACCUGGCAUAUGGUCUUCCAACCCAUUAUUAAUUCUAUAACAAACAGCAAAAGAAAACUGAAGGAUCACGUUCAUAAAACCCGAUUAUUUGAAUGUCAUUCAGGCCAAUUUAUUUAUAAUUUCUAUUCCUAUAAAAUAUAAUCAACAUUAUAUUUAUCAGAUUCGAAAUAAAGAAUGGCGAUGUCCACUGAUUAUAUUUUUUUAUAUAACUAUCCAGACUCAUGAAAUAACAUUAUAAAACUACAGUUCUAUAGUUUUUAACUUUAAAGAAGAAUUGACUUCAAUUGUGUUUAAACAUUCAGCUAAAGUUGUAUUCACUUGGUACACAUAAAACCAAUUAAUACGUUGUAUAAACAUAAAAUAGAAUUCAAAGAUCUUAAACAUAUGAAGCGUCCUUAGCUGAUAAUGUAUUCUUAUAUUUCUAGUAAACGCACAUGUACAGUUGAGUUAGGAGGUGCUUGCCGAACGGAAUGGGCAUCAUCCAUUGCAGACCAAUAUUAUUACUUGAUGUCUCCGCAUAGUCCAGGUAGAAAACGACGAUCAUUCCGAAAGAGAAUGUCACCCUUGCGGCUGUUUCACAAAAGACUCCAGCAAAUCAAGAAGAGACAUUCAGAUAAUUGAUCGCAUUUUUUUUCUAUUAUGAUGGUAAGUCUCGUUGUCAGUACUUCAACUGUAUUGAUUAUAUUUUAAAUAAGUCAAAUUACAAAAUAAAACAGAACUCCAAGGAAAAUUCAAAACGGAAAGUCCAAAAUGAAAUGACAAAAAUCAAAAGCUCAAACACAUCAGACGAAACAACUGUCAUAUACCUGACAACUUGGUACAGGCAUUUUCUUAUGUAGAAAAUUGUGGACAAAACUUGGUUUUAAAGCUAGUUAAACAAUUCACUUGUAUGACAGGCGUAUCAAAUUCCAUUAUAUUGAAAGCAAAGUGUGAACAAAACAAACAGACAUAAUAUAUAAAAAUGUCAAAAAAUGUCGAAAAGAUGCCCUUGCGACUCAGGGUGAUUAACAAUGUUUCAUAUUAUAUAGACACUUGUAAAUUACUGAAACUGUAGGUAAGAUGUAGAUGUUAUUAAGUAAUUUGUGUUAGGAAGUUUGUCAUUCUACCUUCAUCAAACUUUAUUCAUACACAAUCGAUGAAAUGAGUACUGAACGAAAUGUAGCAAUCAUAAAUCCAGAGUUAAUAAGAUAUAAGAAUCAUACAAAUAAAAACAAAAUUGUACCUCAUACCAACACCAAAAAUUACAAUAAGGAUGUUCCUGGUGGAAUGUCAUUAAACUUGUGAAUUUUCCUGAUAAUAGGCAGUGCCCUUAGAAUUCCUCGUUUCGGAAUCUAUUACAUCAUGGUUAACAUUUUAAAAUUCGAUCACCGAAACGUGUUUAAUAACAAAAUGUCUUAUACAAUGAAAAAUCUAUCAAAUGAUGUGACGUUAUUAUCAUUUUAUAGUACGAACAAUGCAAUUACCCAUAAUACUUUAAAUUCAGAAACGGCGAAUUGGUAGGAAUUGUUGGUUGUCAAUGUUUAUGUUGAUAUGUUGAAGUGGUUCGAACAGAACUAUGGCAUAUUGAUUUCGAUUAACAUUACCACCAAAGCAUAUUUAGAGGUUUAUGAUAUAUCACUCACAUAAUUUAAACAUGGAACCUGUUCAUUGUAUGCAUGCAAAUAUGAUGAAAUCAUAAUCUUUUAGUCAGUUAAAUUGAAGUCUGGAGCUGGCAUGUCAGUUAACUGCUAGUAGUCUGUUGUUAUUUAUGUAUUAUUGUCAUUUUGUUUAUUUUCUUUGGUUACAUCUUCUGACAUCAGACUCGGACUUCUCUUGAACUGAAUUUUAAUGUACGUAUUGUUAUGCGUUUACUUUUCUACAUUGGUUAGAGGUAUAGGGGGGGGGGGUGUUGAGAUUCACAAACAUGUUUAACCCGCCUCAUUUUUUGCGCCUGUCCAAAAUCAGAGAGCCUCUGGCCUUUGUUAGUCUUGUAUUAUUUUAAUUUUAGUUUCUUGUGUACAAUUUGGAAAUUAGUAUGGCGUUCAUUAUCACUGGACUAGUAUAUAUUUGUUUAGGGGCCAGCUGAAGGACGCCUCCGGGGUGCGGAAUUUCUCGCUACAUUGAAGACCUGUUGGUGACCCUCGGCUGUUGUUUUUUAUUUGGUCGGGUUGUUGUCUCUUUGACACAUUCCCCAUUUCCAUUCUCAAUUUUAAAGUUAACAUGUUUUUAAUAAAGACUAUUUUAUAAAAACAUUAGUUUAUGUGUUUUAAAUACAUACCUUUUUCACUGUAGUGAGCAAUGCGUUUCAACGUUCUUUUAGAAAUUGAAACGUAGGGUUAUGUUCCAAUGACCCACCGAUGUAAAAGUGAGGAAUCAGAUAAUUCAGAAGUUAUAUUGACACAAUAAGCUCGUGAACAUAUUAAGUUAAGGUACUUCAUGAUAGCUUUUUUACUUUAAAACAAUUAUGAUAUCUUUAAUCGAAUUUUGUGUUUGAGCUUUUGAUUUUUCUAUUUGAUUAGGGAUUUUCUGUUUUGAAUUUUCUACGGUGUUCCGUAUUUUUGUGAUUUUACUUUUUAUUAUUAUUUUUUCAGGAUGAAAGAAGAUUACCUGGCUUUGUAUGUGUCUAUCUCUUGCCUAACACUAUCUAUAUGAAGCGAUGACGAGUAUGGUGGUUUCGUUCUAUGGAUAAAAGAAAAAGUCGAAUAACAAGGACACCAACUAGUUUUUAAAGCACUUCUACAAUUCAAAAGCUUAUGAAAAAGAAUUCUGUGCUUCCGGAAUUGAACUUUUCAAACUCUUCAGAAAUGAAAAUAUUUCGAAAAGAGAUACUAGUACACUAUAUGGUGUUUAUCUUUCUUAGAUGAUGUGAUAACAAAAUAAAUGCUUGUGUUGAUUUCUAAUAAGCGUCUAUAGAUCUUAAUGAUUUUCCUUUAUUUUUAUUGUAUUGUUUUUGAAGUUUUGAAGUGAUUUUUGUCGUAAUUUCGUCACAAAUUUCCUCCUAAUCUUUAAACUAUCAUGCAAACUAUUUUAUGAAUAUUAUUUUCGUACUUGAUUGUUCAAAACCAACAUUUGCUUUUGAAUAACUUCCAAAAUUAUAAUAUGAUAGACAAACAGUGUAGAACGGAUCAGAUUUAGAAAUUGUAAUCUCAUAAAUAUAGUUUUAUUUUGAGAGGAAUGUAUGCAAAAAAAAAUUUCUUCAUGAAAACACCUUGUUUUUAAACUCACCUACUAAGAUGACAAACUCCAGGAAGCUAACAAGUACCUUGAACUUUGUUAUUGUUAAUGAUUGGACUAUUCUUGGAUAUAUUCCCAAAUUGAAAUAUGUUUAUCAAGUUGCCAGGUAUCUUCCAGCUGACCGAAUUUUAUUAUUAUUGAAUAUUUAUGAAUCCCGCCCCGCAAAAUUUGAUUUUAUGAAAAAACCUAGACACAUUUAUAGGAAAAUAUCGUUUAAUUGUUUCUAUUUAGAAACGUUAAGUAACAACAAUAAAAUUGAGAAAGGAAAUGGGGAAUGUGUCAAAGCGACAACAGCCCGACCUUAGAGAAUACAACAGCAUUCAUUGUUGUACUGUGUUAGUUAACAUUGCAUUAACAAGAUGUACAUAUUUCUGUUUUAUUAGUUCAUU